Molecule: long non-coding RNA, 47020 nt
Filed under: Durio zibethinus
Lineage: Eukaryota; Viridiplantae; Streptophyta; Magnoliopsida; Malvales; Malvaceae
Description: long non-coding RNA (DZIB_LNC001561)
Source: RNAcentral
AGAAAAUUUUCUUUACUUUUGUUGUUUAAUAAUUGGCAAUUAAAAUAUUUGUCUCGUGUUAUUCAUAUGUAAUGAAAAAUAUUAUAGUAAAAAGCAUUUAUUACGUAAUCUGAAAUUCUACGAAUUAAACACAAGAAUCUAAUAUUCUCGUUAUAGAAAAAAUCACUUUUUCCUCGAAAUUCACACUUUCUAAGAAUUACUUUUUCUCUUGAAAUAUAAAUUCAAGAACCAAACACCGCUAAAAGUUUUUACACUUACAAUUUUGUUGCAAGAUUACAAACAUGUUUAUGUUAAUGUGUCUCAAUUUUUUUCUUUGCUUCUUUUUUUAUUAUUGUACUAAAAUUGACAAUCUUAUUAGAUAGUUCACAUUAAAUUUUCCACCCAAAAAGGAAAAAAAAAUCUAUAUUUCUCUGUCUCUGCAAUGCCAUAUUGUGGAAUGUGGAAGAAAUAUGGAUAGUAAACAUAUGAUCCAUGAUGUUUGUUUAUGUGCUUGAAUGUGUACAUAUUACUCGUAUUUGUGUUACAUUUUGUUGCCAAGAGAUGGUGAAAAGAAAUAAAUCAUUCAUUCAACUCUUAAGAAAUGAAAGAAUUUGAAUUUGAUUACAAAGAACAAAUAAGGGAACCAGGAAAAUGGUCCCCUUGAUUGGCAAGAGAACUAGUCUAACUUUGGAGUAGACUUGGCAAUUUAAAGAACUUUGGAGUAAAGUUUACCAUUUAAAACACGCCAUGGAAGCAGUACACAAAUAUGAUAUAUUAAAAAAAGAGACGAAGGUGACAUGGGUUAAAAUUUUAGCAAAAGAUGUAUGGGUUUAACAAAAACAAAAAAUGCAUUUUGUGUUUUCUAUGUUGACACAAAUUAUAACAUGAUUUUCGUGUAAAACUUGGGAAGAAUACACGAAUUGCCAAGUCUACUUUUAAGCUAUAUGACAGAAACUAUUAGUAAAAAUACAUACACUAUUCUGCAGUUAAAUGUGAUUUAUAUAUUGCAACGAUCAUAUCCAGAGAACCAGGAUGAGUUUUCUGCAAGCUUUGAUAACUCACCAUCUUCACCUUUAUAGAAUGGUUCAAAUUCUUCUCGCCAUUGCUGAUCGCAGGCAUCGCGGAUCUCACCUGCAUCAUACCUGGCAAUGUCAAAAUUAUCAUAAGCAGGUUGUAUUGCUUUUUUAGGUAGACGUGAUUCUGUGAGUAGCUCAUUAAGAGUGCUGAUCUCAUGUUCAUGUUUUCGCUUUAAUUUAUCAAUCUGUCUGCGAGCCUUCUCAGUUUCUUGUUCUGUUUCCAUUGCUCGCUUCUGCAAUUAUUUUAAAACAGGAGGAAAUGAGAACAAUGCUAAAAGCUUCACAUUCACUCCCAAGUCCCAAAGUAGCUUUGCUAGUUAGACCAGCAAAGUGAAGUGUUCCCUACCACAUACAAGACUAAGGGAAAAAUUAAUCAAAAGCCCUAAAAAGCGGUAAUAUGUUCCAACACCCUACAAUUUUGAACCAAACAAUAUCUAACACAGAUGAUUUGCUGCAAAAGACAGUAGUAUGUUUUAAGACUUUUGGUCAUCUAAAGUACACUCUUGCACAGCAUGCCGAAAAAGUAUUUGAGGGAGAAUGGAAAACUAUGAGAUAUUGAGGAAGAUUAGUCUAACAGCAUUAUGUUAUUUAUGAAUUCUCGGCAUUUUAAAUUACAAGCAUUUCAUCUGGAAAUUCCUAGCCUUCACCAAAGAGGAAAAAAAUAAUUUUAUGCAUUACAUACAGAUGAAAUUGACUAAAUGGAAUGUUGAAGUCCUCAAUUUUUAGUACUUUUUCUGUACAAAAUGUGUACAUAAAAUGUCCAUUUACCUUUUCAUCAAUUUGUUUACCUUUCCAAUAAAAGAACCAAAGAGUAACCAGAUGAUGACACAAGCGUCACCAAGAAGUUCUCUGAGCAACUAUUAUAUGAGGUAAACAUGUAAGAUAUAAACCCAUCUCAGCUUUAAAAGCAACUUCUUGACAUAUUAGCUUGUGCAUUCUAAACUUGAGGUUAGAUCUCUGAAUCAUAAUUUAUAUCCAAAAGUUAAUUGAGACCUCAUGAGCCUCAUAAAUGGAUGUUUUGUCAAAGGCAGCAUGGUUUAAGGGGCUUUGCAUUGGCAAAUACUAAUAAUAAUAUAUGUUUGUUAUAGUUGACUAGCAGGGUUUACAACAAAAUUUAUUUAUCACGAGGCAAUGUAUAAAGAACAUAUAUCAAUACAUAAAUACAGAUAUAUGAGAGACAACACUGAGAGUGCUUAUUUGUAAAAUGAAGGAAAGCAAAUAAUUUUCACAACAAAACUAAUCACACUCCCUCUAUCCACUCAUCUUGUCACUUUUGAACUCUGAUAUUGUCCCAUCAAAAUUUUAAUUUGAAAAUAAAAAAAUUGAACGACAAUGUUUGCUACUUUACUCUUGCAUCAUAACCAUUAAAAGUAACAUGACAGACUGAACAGACACUUUAACAUCUAAAAUUCCAAUCCAAUAGUUAUCCCAGCUUAGCUACCAGUUUUCAUUUUGGGAUGAAAACUUAAUAUGUAACAAAAAUCUUAAUAUCAAGCAGAGAAGUUAAAGUUGAUGAAAACAUAUAAGUAACUUUACUUACUUGAGCAGCAGCCACAGCUUCUUCUGCUUCUUUUAACCGUACAAGCAAUUCGCCUGCAGCCUGGACUGCUUCAGCAGUAUCCCUCAAUUGAGCCUGGAGUCCUCUAUUCUCAUCCCUAAGAUAUUGCCUCUCCUUUUCCCUUUCCACUUUCAGUGCAGAAAUUUCAGCAGCAAGGGCAUUUAUGAACUUAGAUUCAGCACCCCUGACCCCUGCCCUAGCAGCUGCCUUUUUAACAUCAUCUAUUCCCUCUUGAAUCUUCCUAUGCCUUGCAAGCAAUUGCAUGUGUUUUUCUUCAAGAUCUGCAUACUGUUCAAGCAUUGUUGCAUGUCCCACCAUAGCCAUCUGCAUUGCUUCCUUCAAUUCUUCUGCACAUUUCUUCUCCAUAUCUAGUUCCUGCUUCCUUUUUUCAGCCAGCAAUUGGCUAGCAUCAAGUUCAGUCCUUAAUUCCUCUACAAGAGAAAUCCAUUUGCUCUCUGCCUCAGUCCACCGAAUUCUCUCUUGUUCAAAUUUCUCUUCAGUACUCUCCUCAUUUGUCUCUGGUAUUGCACUUAGAGGUGGAGGCAUAUUGGGCUCACAUGAAUAUGUCAACUGCAGUAAAGAAUUUUGUCUUCGAGCUGAUGUGGAAGAAGAGUCUAUAUAAUAUUGUAACUGGUUUCUUAAAUCCUGAAUUUCUUCUAGCAACACUUCCCUCUCACCAAAAUCAUGAAAAUUUCGAAAGCGCUCCAGCUCAUCCUGAACUCUUUUCAACUCAAUCUUUGUUCUUAAAACCUCAGGAUGGUUCUCAUAUUUCUCCUUCAGAAGCUGUAGGCAAUAGGUGAGAUACAGAUGCAAAUAAAAACGUUAAUCUAAAAAACCUUAAAAGAACAAACAAACACCUUGUGCUCAUGUGUGAGGGAAGCUAGCUCUUCUUCCAUGAAUUCCUCCGUAGGUAAAACACCAUCCAUAAGGCUCUCAAGGCGAAGAAUUUUAUCCUCCCUUGUCUGCCCUAUAAUGGCGUUGCACUCUCUCUCAUGUUUGUACUGUUGCACCUGUAAAUAAUAGCCAAUAACUAUAACAUCAACAAUUCGCAAUGACAAUAGCCACCAUUAGCUGCGAGUAAAAUUACUAAGAAACCUACCAAACGGUUUAACUGCAUUAUCUCAGAAGCUUGCUUGGCACAGAAAUCUUCAAGAGCCAUUUCUCUCCUGAUAGAUCCAGCCAAAACCUUCUCCACUGCCUGUGCAAUACAAGGUAAGAAAAAGGUCAAUCAUGUAGAAGCUAUAAUAUGAAAAGCUAGAACUUGAGACUUGUUACCUUUGGAACUUGCUUCUUGGUUUUCUCAGCAGACUCUGACUCAUCAACAGGGACUAACUGCAUGUUAGAGCUUUCAUUGUCCUCUUUCCCCUCCAUGUUUGUUCUCUUUUUACAAUUACCACAUAGAAAUGCUACUGGCUCUUCUUCUUGAAUCUCAUAAUCUGGAAGAAAAGUUUGAACUCCGGCAUCGACUUUAUGAGCUGCAAGGAUUGGCUUAGAGUCAGCAGGUUUUAAUGAAAAACGGAAUGGUGAUCUCCUCAAUGCUAAACUUCGAUGGUGACUAUCAAUAAUCUCAAGACCACGAUGAAGGCUAGCUGCCAAAUGUUCAGUUGGUGUGAAAGGUACACGCAUAGCCUCUGGGCCAUCAUCCUUAAGAUCUUUCUGCGAAGCAGUGAACAUUGAUGAUGUCCUCAGACUCUUCCUACUCUGGUUCACUCUAGGUGAGACACUUGGUGUUGGGGAUUUAAGAAUCACAGAAGAAUCCCCAUCAGUUGUUUCAACAGUUAGCUGGCCUGGUCCGCCCGGAUUCUCUUUGACACUUUCAUGAGCAUCAACAACGUUUGGCAUGUUUGUAGCAGGUUCAACUGAACCAACAAUCAUAAUUUCAGAGGUUUUAGUCUCUUCAGAUAUUUCUUCCUCCAUGUUUACAUCAGUAUCCUCAGUGUCUUGUGCUUUGACACAUUCAAAUGUGUUAGGCAAUAGAUCAUGAGCACAUCCAUUUUCAGAGGUGGUAUUUCCUGAAUCUGAUUCAAUUAUCUCUGGUUUGGUCACUUCAUUUGAACAGCGAUAUAUAUCUGCUGAUUGCAGGCCUACUUGAGCACAAAGACUCUCGACAGCUUCCUCAUCAAUUUCCAUCUCCUCAUCACCAUCUUCAUCAAUAUGAGGUAAUGUCCUUGGAUGAUUGAGGCUAAAUUUUAACAAAUUCAAGCUCCUACGGGCAUUCCAUCCAGUUGAGUAACUUCCAUUUGGAUCAGUUUGGUUGUUUCCAUUAGCUUUCAUUCGUUGGAGUUCAUCCUGCAUGGUUCCCUCCACAAUUUUCAUAUUCACACAUUUCAUUGCAUAACUCAUGGAAAAAAAAAAAACUGAUAAUUAGAAUAUACCUUCAACUGCCGAAUCACUUCACGCAGAAAAUUUACAUCAUCCUGCAUCACUUCAUUAAUGACUGCCUUGUUCUUGAUUGCCUUUGUACGCUGAGCAAAUCGUAGUGUGCUGAAUGUUUCGCUCUUACAGCUGCAUUACUGACUCAAGUAAACUUCCCUUGCCUGGGGGGGGGGGGGGGGGAAGAAAAUCUUAAACAAAAUAAGGGCAGUUGUUGUCUUGUUACCUUUGUGCUGGAGAGAUUGCACAGACCAUUGCUAAUUUUGCAUUGCCACCAAGAGAUUCCUGUAAUAAAAAUGUCAACUUGGAGUCUCUGUAGGGGAUAUGCCUUUGCUUUCCGGUUUGGGAUACUUCAGCAAGAAUGUUUAUCAAGUUCCUGAACUCCAAAUAAUAAGUAAAAUUAGGAAAAAUCUAGCAGUGUGUGCUCUUGACACAUCCAUGAAAACAUGCUGAAGCAACAAAGAGGCAAGAAAACAUGGUAGAAUUGAAUCUGAAUUGAGCAAUUGUCUCCAUCACUUGUAUUACAUAGCCUUUUUUAUUUUCUGUAGCUUCUUUUUUCUGUAUCACCUUCUUCUGAAACUGUAAUUGGCUAAAUCACUUUUUUUUCCAGCUAGGAAGACAAUCACCUUUUAGACAAAUAUGCUAAAAGUAGUUUUCUUUAAAGGUUUGGACACGCAUUUGCUCUAUUACAUUAACUCAUUUUUUAUUGUAUUCUCACAUUUUGGAGCUCAACAAUGCUCCAUACCACAUUUGCGAACUAUUGAAAUCUAAAAAGAUUCCGAAUUGCAGAUGUAUCACAUUGUAGUCAAAGUUGGAAGAUCUACUUUUUGAACAAUAAAGUAACAACCAAAAGUUGAAUCUAGAGAUUCAAUAUAAGAUGCACGUGAAAUAAGACAUGCAUAUGAAAGAAAAGAUACGAAAAGCAUACCCAAGUUGUGAGAGUGAACGAUUAAUAUUCCCUGCCUCCUUUAAGCGAUCCCCUGCAGCACCAGUUAGUUUUUGUCUCUCCGAACCGGCUAGAUCAACGAGAUUUAUUCGGCUUGUUUUAAAGCUACUUACACCAUCGGCCACACUCUGUAAGAACAGAGAGUACUUCAGAAUCCUCAAGUAUAAUUGGGAGAGAAAAACUCGUGAAAAUAUGAUAUAUUUUCCAGUUGUUCUGCAGAUCAUGAUCCUUGUGAUUUUAUUAUUUACAAAAUGUGACAAAUAAAAAAGGACAUGGAAUUUAAGAAAAUUCUGGUUUGCAAAGCUGCCCAAGUUAGUGAUUUGAUGCCACGAUUUGGUUUUGAAAAACUUGUAAUCCAACAAGAAAUAUGCUAGCUCAAACAUAAAUAUUAGAAACAAAUAAAUAAAGCACAUGAAAUUCAAACCAUUAUUACCUUACAUCGAGACUCAACAACACAAGUAAAAACACAAUGUGAACGGGAACUUUCGGCAUUGAUAGUAGUCGCACCUGUCCUUCUAUUUGAUAAUCCCUGCAUCAUUUGUGUGAAGCUUCUAAAUUUAAUUAUUUGAAUCAAACUUAGUUAAGUUUCAAAUCCACUUUUACCAAACUGGAAUAAAUGGAUCAAGCUAAUAAGAAAUCAUGCAUAAAAGUGUUCCUUUUCUAUCAAGAAAAGUUGAAUGUUAGCAUUCAAAGCAUUGGCAAAAUAAAAAUAAAAAUAAAAACAAACCUUUAUCAACAGCUGAGUCACGUCCUUCAUCGAACUUACAUACUCCUCCGUCAAAUUCUCAACGUAGACGCCAGAUUUUACAUCUUCUCUUAUCUGGAUGAAAAUCAUAAAACAGUCUAAGAAAACCAAAAAUUUUCAUCCCAAAAAGAAAGAAUUGAAAAGUUAAUUAUAAUUAUUCAUUCUACCUGCAGGUUUCUUUGAUUUGGAUCCAACAAAUCCGUGAUUUGCUCAUUAUAGAUCUGCAAAAGGAAAUUGAAAAGCAAGUGGUAAGGAAUAAGAAUAAAACAAAGAUAAACAGUCCAAUUAUAUCAAAAUCUAGUACCACAAUAAGUCAAUCAACUCUACCUCAAGAAAAGAACAGCGACAUUGGUACUUGAGUUGUUUAUCAGCAUGCUUGAUUUGCUCCUACAAAAUAGAAGGUUGAAGCACAACAAACCAUUGAAAAUGGUCCACUCAUAACAUAAACAUUCAGUGCAUUCAUUGACGAACAUAUAUUGAAACCUUUACCUCAUUUAUACGAGCAAAGAGUCGAUCAAACACACGGGGAGUUAAGCCUUGUUGAUCACUUGAUAAAUUUUCUUCCAACAAGGCGUUGGCUGGACCCCAAAUCGUAUAAGUCUUUCCACUUCCAGUCUAGCGAAAACCAUUUUAUUCAGACACACAAAUUGAAAAGUUAUAAACCAGUUCAAAAGUAAUUCAAUGAAGAAGCAAGUACCUGGCCAUAAGCAAACACCGAGCUGUUAAACCCAGCAAGACAAUUUUCGACGAGAGGUGCUCCUACGAGCUGGAAGAUAUCUAGCUGCAGUUAAAAAAGAAACAAAAUUUAGGGUUUUACAGAAAUAAUUAAACAGAGGGAAAUAAAUAAAAAGUAAGCCCAUCAGUGCCUGAGUUGCAUCCGUGUUGGCCACUGAGUCAAACGUGAAGGUUUGUCCAGUGAUACUCAAAGAUUCAUUACUAAUUUUCUGAACUAUUGUUUCCCCUUCUUCCUCUUCUUUAAUUGGCGGCCGCAUCCGUACAACCACCUAAAGAAUAAUAAUAAAAGGGAGUCAAUAUUUGAAAUCUAAUAAAUUCCAUAAUUCAGAAAAAAAAAAAAAGGAAAUACCUUGACACCGGAAUCGGAGAUUCCUGAGACGGCGUUUUCGGGGAGGGUUUCCGGAUAAAGUUUGCGCUUGAGAGGGUUGGAGGACGGCGGGCGAGGUGGCAACGGACACUUGAUCUUGGCCGUUGCGGUUGCGGCGGGGGAAGGUUGGGAGUUGGGAUCUGGCGGCGGUGCGUUUUCUUUGGAUGAUUUUUGGUGUUUCCGUUUGGAUUUAGAAGGUGUAAGGUUUGGGGAAGAAGGGUUCUCCAUCUGCUCUCUCAAGACCGUGUUUCUUGGUAACAUGAAAUGCUUCAUUUUUUUUGUUUGUUUGGACAGAAAGGAAAAGAGAGGAAAAAGGGCGAGAAAGGGGAAGAUUAGGGCAAGAAAGCGUGAGAGAUGGAGAGAAAGAGAGAAGAGUGGAAGUGAGAGAAAAGUAGCCGUUAGAGGGAACAAAAGAGUUUGAAUUUGGGGAUUUUUAUUUUUAUUUAUUUUGAAAUUAUGUUGGAUCUGGAGCGUUUUUUUUAAUAAUUAAAUAAACCUACGUGGACCCAUUCAAGAGCCCACUUUUGAUACGACACUGUUUUUCUUUGACGGCCCAGAUUCUUGGGCUUCUUUUUCUUUUCCUUUUAAGUCAAUUAGCCACUUUACUGUUAUUAAAUUUGAGAUUCAACCAUUGUACUUUUAUUCUUUUCAAUUAAGCCAUUACAUUAUUGUCAAGUGGUCAAUUAAGCCAAUUUUUUUAAUUGGUCUAUACUUAAAUUAUUGUUAGAGUGAGAUAGCCAGAUGUCAAUUCAAUUCAAAUGGCAGGACAAGGAAAAAAAAAUCUAAAAAUUAGUAUAAGUAAUUGUUUUGUAAUUGCCUUCCAUUUCUUUCUUCAUUAUUUGUUUCAUUUCCUUUAUUUUUUUCACACUCACCCAUCCUUCUUAUAGUAUGACAAUAUAAUAUAAACAUAAUAUAAAAAAAAAGGUAAUAAUAUUAAAUAAUAUAAAUAUUCGAAUUUUAAUAUUAUCGAAAGAUGUAACGGUUGAAGGCAGGACGCAAAGGGCACUUGUCCGUCUAUUUAUACAGGUGUCCUUGAGUCCACUAUCACAAAUACGUAAUGCCAUUGCCACUCACCAAGUACCUAACUGCAAUGAAACAAUGCCCGAGACGAUAAGAAUCAAGGCCCUUCAUUCAUGAUUUCAUGUGAUGUUUUUUUGCGUCAAAAACCAGCAGAAAAAGCAGUACGCAACAAAAAACCUUAGCACAAUUUGACAAAAAAAGAACAAUUCCGUCGGAAAACGCUAGCUCACUAUUGUCCCAUAAAUGACGGCCCUGUCAUGUCGUUUUCCCUUGCGUCUAAAAUACGCCGCACGACGUCGAUGCUCUCUUCUGCCUCGCUCGCCACCCCUGUCAGCCCAUUUCACCACCUUAAUUUGCGUGACGAAACGCUUUCUUUUUCGGUUUUCUCUCUAUAUAACACCAUAACCCCAAUACCCCACCGUCACAAUCAUAUUACAUAAAAAAAACUGAAGCACCAAAAGAUGGCGAAAACUGAGCUGAUAACUAUCUCUUUGUUGUUCGUAAUAACAUUGUCUUUCACGUUGGUUAACGGUUAUGGAACGGCGGUGGGAGGGAAAACGAAAAUAAGCGAUGUGAAGACGAACAAGGAGGUGCAAAAGCUUGGGAGGUUUUCCGUGGAAGAAUAUAACAGGAUGCAGGGGCGUUUGAGGAGUAAUAGAGGGACGGAGUUGGUUUUUUCUCAGGUUGUGGAGGCUCAGAAACAGGUGGUAUCUGGGAUCAAGUACUAUCUGAAGAUUGAGGCCAUGCACAAUGGGCUUUCCAGGACGUUUGAAUCGGUGGUUGUGGUGAAACCUUGGGUUCAUUCCAGGGAAUUGCUCAGCUUUUCCCCUUAUUCUCAAAAAGGUUAGGGGUUUGCUUGUGUUGAAUCUGUAGCGUUGUAAUGGUCAUUCCCAAGUUUGUUUUGUGUUUUAUGGCAUUUUUGGUUUGGAUUUUUGUGUUUGAGUGUGGGUUUUAACCUGUGAUUUUCAUGUAUAAUAAGUCUUUGAACGUGCAAUAAAGGAAUAAAUAAUGCUAAUCAACUAUUUGUUUUACAAAUAAUCUAUAUAUCUUUGCUGGGAAAGAGAAGGAUUGUGAUUUGUGCUUUCUGGAUCAUGUAUACAUCAGCUUUCGAUUCUCUGAUUCCAAAAAGCUCAAAGAAAUGGUCUUAUCAUUCAAGGAUAGUUGUAGAUGAUGAAGGAUCGAAUUCGUUUUUUUUUUUUUUUUGCCUUUUAUUUUCUCCAUAUUGUAUAAUAUUUUAAAAUUUCAAAAAAGGAUUCAAUCUUUUUUUAAAUCAAAUUGAUCCAAAUUCAAUCUGGUUUAUCAGUUUUUUAAAUUAACUUUUAAAUAUUCUAUUAUUUUUUUUAUAUUUUUUUAAAUAUAUUUAAAUUUAUUUAAAUAUGAAAAAUUAUUUUUAUUUUAUAAAAUUUAUAUUUAUAUAAAAAUUAAUAAAAAUAUAAUUCUAUUUGAUUAGAAUAUUUUUAAUUUUUUUAUUUCGUUAUUUAAAAUCGAUUUGAAUUUAAUUAAAACAUCUAUUUGAAUCAAAAAAUUUAAAUAUAAAUCAAUCUAAAUACUUUAAUUUCAAAUUAAUUUUUUAUUUUCUCGACCUUAAAAAAAACUACAAAUUAAUUUUAAGUUUAUAUUUAUUUAUUAAAUUUAACAAACAACCAUAAAUAAUAUUUUAAAAUUUAUUAAUUAAACAAAUAAAUUACAAAUAUAUAUAAAAAAAAUUGGUUCACAUGCAAUUUGUUUACAAUUAUAUAUAUAGCUUAUAUGUAUUCUAUAAAGCUCCAAAAAAAUAUAAAAUUACAUAUGUAAAAGUAGUUACUUGUGUAAGGAUACACCAAGUAACUUAUAAUUAAAAAAGGAAAAACGUUAAACAAUGCAAUCGUCUUCCCUCCUUAAGAAACCAACUUUCUGAAACAAAAAUUAACAAAGAUAAACCAAACAAAUUCCGGGGUCAUAAUACAAUAUUAGAUAAUACAAUUGUUAUCUUUAACUUGAACAUUCUUAUACAAAGUGGUUAAGAUAAUUGAUCAAGCUUUUUUCAGCUGCAAAUACAACAUGCACUUAAAGCACAAACUUUGAACAUUACAUGGCCACGUGAUCUACCAGGGGAUCUGACCAUUUUUGCCAAAUUAAGCUAGUGAUCAUGGAAAGUAUGAGAAAGAGGCAAACCAAAAUAACCAGCAAUCUGCAAACCUGUUUAGAUGCAGGGAUUUAAAUAGCGGUCGCGGUCACGUUUUCAGUCGCGUAGCAUUUGUCACGUUUUCGGAUAUAACGGAGAUAAUUGCGGUCACUGCGGUCAUCACGGUCGUGAAAUUUUUUUUUUUUUUGCAUAAUUUAUUAUAAAAUGUAAUAAUUAUAAUUAUAAUUAUAAAAACUCUUAUUCAAUGAUUUUAAAACUAGUUUAUGACACUAUAUUUUUUAUUUUCUAAAAAAAUUAUUCACAAUUUUAUUUAGAUUAUAAAAAGCAUUCAUAUUUGGUUUAUCCAUAAAAUUUUUCUUGGCCAAAUUCAUAUUCAAUAUUAAUUCUAGACAAAUCAAAUAUUAACAAAACAUAAUAUGUUAAAUACCAAGCAUUUAAUUUAAUAAAAUUACAAACUUAAAAAUAUAAUAAAUUCAAAUUCCAUCAACUACAAUUAUUGAUACAUAUUUCAAAUUUACCAUAUGGUAGAAUGACGAGGAGGAUCAGAUUCUCUAUCUUUACUUUGAGAGCCAAGUUGACUCCAUCUCCAUCCCUGAGACCUUUGUUCUUGAUACAUUUGAGGUGGAGGAUAUAUUUGAGGAUGAUACAUUUAUGGUAAAGGGUACAUUUGUGAUAACUGAUACAUUUGAGGUGGAGGAUAUAUUUGAGGAGGUAGAGGAUACAUUUGAGAUGGAUAAUAACUAUAUGGAGGUGGAUAACCAUGAGGAGGUUGAAAAUUAUGUUGUUCUGGUGGAUAGUAAUGUCUUUGAGUACUAGCAGAUGAUUCACUAUACUCAAAGUUACUAGAAUUUGAUCUCUCACCUGAAGAUGAAGAACAUCUAAAAAUUUCAUAGUGGUGCUUCUUUGCUUUUCCUUUUGAUCGAGCUGUACGUGCACUUUGACCCUCACUAGAUUUAGCAAAUGGAUUUCCUCCGUAUUCUGCCAUAUUAAUAAAAAGUACACCAGUAGCAGCAAGCCUAAAUUCUUCUCCAAGUGGGCUGUAAGGUCGAUUUGCAUCCAUAUUAUCACUAAAAUUCACACCAUCACCAUCUCUAUCACCAUCUCCAUCUGGACUUAAACCACCACCAUCAUCACUCUGACUUGGUGUUGGACUUGAACUUGAAUGAGACACAUUCCUUUCUUGAGAUUGACGUGAUUGUUCAACAUUCAUUUCAUUAUCAGAAUUAUCUGCAGGCAACCAAUCAGAGUUUUGACCAUCUAAUAGAGGAUUUUCUUUCUCUUGCAGCCAUUCUGUUAGUGGAUCAUCAUCUUCAAAAAUAUUUGAUGCAGAUGUUGUUUGACUAAGCACUUUGAUUGCUAGUUUUUGUAAUUCAGGAACACAAGUGCCAUAUAUCAUCCACCACUCAGCUGUAUAAAAUUAUUUAAAUUAAAUUUCAAUUGGCUAUACAAUUAAAUAAUAUAAAUAAAUUAUAAUUAUUUAACUUACUAUUUACCUGGAUUCAUUUGCUUUCAAGCUCUUUGUGCUUGUGGACUACCAAAUGUUUCAUGCUUGUCUCAAAAUAAUAACAACUACAUCGAUUGAAAAUACAAUAAUAAAUGAAUAAAUAAAAAAUAAUUUAAUUUUUAAUACACAAAACAAAUGUUAAAGUUAUAAAAUAGUAUUAAAUACUAACUUGAUUAAUCAUUCUGAUUUGAGUAUCUAUCGAAGGUUCUAAUCUUUCAAUAAUUGCUUUUAUACCUUCUAAUGUUUCCUUAAAUACAUUUGCAGAAUGUUCCACUCCAAAUUGAAAUUGUGGAUUUAGAUAGUAACAUAAACAUAAUUUAUAACAAUAUUAUAUUAAAGUAAUAAAAAAUAAAUAUAUAAGCAAUUUAAGUAUAAAAAAUAAACAUAUUUUUUAAAUACCAUCUAUAUUCUUGGUUUACUUACCAGCUGAAUGAAAGUCAGAGUGCAUGAAACUCCAUCUAUUGUCAAUAAUCUUUUCAUAUUCAGCAGAAUAACGAUAAGUUUGUUGAAUUGCUUAUUUAGCUCUAUCCACAGCCUCGUAAAUAAAGCCCAUUGUUGGUUUUUCAUCACCAUCCACAAGGCGCAACACUUUUGCCAAAUGCUCAUAAACUUUUAUUAUAUCACCUGCUUUUUUUCAAAAAUCUUUUUCCAAAAUGAUUUUUUUGACUUCAUAAGCAGGUCUUGAUUUUUGUUGUCCCCAUUUUGAAUCUUUAAAUUCCUAUAUAUUCAUCAAUAAAUUUUUAGAGUAAUAUAUUUUAAAUUAAUAUUUUAAAACAAUAAUAUCAUAAAAAGAUGCUAGAUUUAAAUAAUUGUACUAAUUACUAAGUACUAACCUUUGAAUUGAACAUCUCUCUCAAGCUUUGCUUUUGCCUCAUUAUUUCUUCUAAUUGUAUGAAAUGAGUGCAAAUCGGGUAAGAGCAGGAUGAAGUAUUUGCUUCCCUUGUGUAUAUUUUUUCAUCAAAUUAACAGUCCAAAUGUGAUUAUAUAUAAAACAAGUUACUUUCUUUGCAUCAUCCAAAACCUUUGCCUCAUUUUUUUCCUCCCAAUAUCUUCAAGGCACAAGUCCAAACAAUGAGCUGAACAUACUGUCCAAUACAAAUGUUUUCUUUUCUCCAUUAGUCUUUUUCCUGCGGCCUUAAGUGUUAUCUCGUCAUCAGUGACUAUUUGAACAAUGUAUUUUUCUCUAAUUUUUUUCACAACUUCAUCUAAUAAUCUGUAUUAAAGUUUGUAUCUCUACUACAAACACUUGAGACAUCUACAGAUUUUCAAAAAAUAGUCCCUUUACUACAGUAAACAAGAAAAUUAAUGAUAUGCAUUUGAUUCAAACUAUUGGUCCAACCAUCACACAUCAAAGUGACACCCAAUUCAUUCCAAUAAGCUUUUAAUCCAUUAACUCAUUCAUGAACUUGUUGAUACUCAGACUCUAAAUACACAUCUGAGACCUCAUAAUGUGUUGGAAGUCUUACAUGUUGGCCAACUUCUGCUGUCAUAGAAAUCAAAUUAUGCAACAAUGGGGAAUUUGCUAAUUGAAAAGGAAGUCGAUCAUAUAUCAAAAAUUUUGAUACUGAUUCACCCAUUUUUCUUCUUAAUGUCUUUAGAAAUGAAUCACUUACUUUUAGUUGUCUUGAACUUUUACUUCUAACCAAUUCAGGAACAGCUCCCCUUAAUGAAAAUUUAGACUCAUUUGGAGUUGAUUUCCUUGUUCUUUCUUCAAAAUAUUCAGCAACUGAACCAUGAAGGCUUCGUCCUUCUUCAUAUAUGUUACUCCAACCACUAGUUCUUUGUCUGAAUUCUUAUCUUCUGUGUCACUCAUGUUGUGAUUGGAUACUAUCUCGCACGGCUUGUCUAGUAGCAAUAUCUUCAUCAAUAAAUCUUUCAUAAUCAUCUUUCCCUCUUAAUUGUGAUAAAAAUUCAUUUUUUCUUCUUUUGUUGUCAGCCUUUUUUUAUUUACUUUCUUGAAGGAGUUUCAUCAUACUUUCUCUUACUAUACCUAUUAAUAAUAUAAUUAAAAAAAAAGAGAAAAUUAGUUGCACAUGCUUAUGUAAUUUUAUAAUUUUUAUUAAGAAAUUAACAAUAAUAUUUUCAAAGAAAUUAAAAAAACAUAACAUACCAGUAACAUUGGGGCAUGGUGCAACAUUGUCAGUUUUAUGAGCAAUGUGUUCUUUGAAACGUGUUAUUCCUCCUUUUACAACUUUACCACAAAGUUUACAUGAAACAUUUCCUCUUGUAUUUGGCACAGGUGUUCCAAAAUGCCAACUUAUAUCAUCACUUGGCGCGCCCUCUACUCCUUUACUCGAAAACUCUUCACGUGGUGGCAUACUUACUAUUUUGUAUAAAAACAAAAUAAACUUAUAUUUACAAAUAUUAAUAUUACUUAUCACAUCAUUAAAAAUUGAUUUUAUGCUAAAUUUUUUAAUUUUUAGUUUUUAAUCUUAAGAAUAUUAUUAAAUAACUUAAUCUUUUUGAUGCACUAAUUGAUAUUAAUUUUUUUAUCACAAAUAACUUCAAAUAAUUAUAUAACAAAUACAAUCUUCAAUAAUUACAUAAAAAUAAUAAAAAUUAAUCUAAUAUCAAAAGAAUUGACAACAAUAUAAAUAUCAAAACAACAAAAAAAAAUUAUUAAAUUUUAUAUACAAAAUUAUAAAUUAAUAUCUAACACAAUUAAAAUAUAAUAUUUAAUUUUAAUUAAUUUUUGUCUAACUUAUAUAAAAAAUUUAUUAAUAAUUUUCAUCUACAAUAUCUAUGUAUAUCAUAUUAAAUUAUUAAUCUCUUAUUUUUUUUAAUUAUAAAUCUUCAAUCCUUCUAAUUAGAUUUUAUCUAAAAAAAAUUUCAAAAAUUAAAAGUUUUCAAACUUAUAUUUUAAUAAAAUUUUCAAACCUAUAUUUUUAUUUUUUAGUUUUAAUCUUAAUAAGAGUAAUAGAUCAUAAAAUGCUAAAUUGUUAAGUAACUUAAUUUUUUUGAUACAAUAAUUGAUAUAAAAUUUUUUAUCACAAACAACUUUUAAUAAUUAUAUAAUAAACACAAUCUUCAAUAAUUACACAAAAAUAACAAGAAUUAAUAUAAUAUCAAAAGAAUUGACAAUAAUAUAAAUAUCAAAACAACAAAAAAAAUUAAAAUUCAUAUACAAAAUUAUAAAUUAAUAUAUAACACAAUCAAAAUAUAAUAUUUAAUUUUAAUAUUAUUUUUCAUCUAACUUAUACAAAAAAAUUUAUCAAAAUUUUUCAUUUAAAAUAUCUAUAUAUUAUAUUAAUUAUAAAUUUUCAAAACUACUAAUUAAAUUUUAUCUAAAAAAUUUUCAAAAAUUAAUUAUAAAAUUAAAUAAAAAAAUUCAAUCCCACCCUCCAAACACCCUACCACACCUAAUCCCUCCCCAGCUUCCUCCCAACGCCCCACCACACCCAAUCCCUCCCCACCUUCCCCCCCAACACUCCACCACACCCAAUCCUCCCCACCCUAUCCAAUCUCUCCAUGUGCCUAAUAUAUCAAAUUGUUUAAUUCUUUCUAACAAACCCUUCUAGAAACGCUCCAUUUUUUUGUUCAUCUUCUUCUUCUUGCAUCUUACCUUCUCUGGCUUUCCAGAAAUUUUUUUUUUUUCAUCUCUCAUUUUCUCUCACAUCCCUUUAUCACUACCAUUUGCUGACUUACCUAGUAUCUACAGAUAUCUCGUUCGUCUUUCAAACUCUCAUAAAAUACAACAGAUCAUUUUACAAAAAUUUUACAAAAAAAAAAAGGUAAUUUAACUUUCUUUUCUUACCUUGUUUGAUCUUGAAUGUUGAUUGAAAAUUUGAAGUUGAUUUGAAUUUGAAUGCCGAAAAUACCGUUUGAAUGGUUGAAAGUUGAAACUUGAAAUAAUUAAUCUGUUUUCUAGCUCGUUUUAAAAUUUCUUUUGAUGAUAAAGAUCUGAGAUUGUGAGCUUUAUUUUUUGAGUUGGCUUUUACUUUUACUUUUGCAGGUUUGUUGUUUUAUUUUGCAGGCUUAAAAUUUUAUUUUUUUGUUAGAAUUAUUAGAUCCGUGAGUAGAAAAACGGAAUAGCGACAAUAACGGUCCGUUAUUGUCGCUAUUGCCCGUUACGCCUUUAUUUUGCGGCCGUUACUCUCCGUUUUUGUUGUGAAUGAAUUUCUCAACCGUUUUCUAUCUAUUAACGGUGGUGGAAGGCAGCGCUACCGCAAUUUUGCGGCCGCUAUUCCGCUAUCAAACCGUUAUUUGAAUCCCUGUUUAGAUGCAUUAGAAGAACUUCAUGGAUGACUUUGCACACCAAGUGAUUAGCACUAUCUGAACCUUUUACUAUUCUAUGGUAAUAUAUUUUAGAACAAAUACUCCACCUUUACUCUUCUAUAACAUUGGGAAGGAAGAAAGGGAGGCAGGAUGGAGGGGAAGGGGGAUUUGAGGCAAAUGCCAUCAUGCCUUGCUGUCUAUGACCAUUGGUGCUGGCUCCUGUUUUGCUACCUUUGCUUGCUCUAACUUGUUCAUCUUUGCAAACAUGUUGCCAUAAAAUUGUGAAUCCUUGUUGUGCUCCCCGAUUUUCUCCUUUAGGACUCGGUACUCCAGUUUCACAUCUCUGGUAUCAACGCAAACAUAAAUUAACUUCAACUGUAGUCACAAGUUCACAACAAUUGGAAUAAAACAACUUACUGGUGAAAACAUGAGGCCAAAGAUGAUGCAACCAGAUUUCUUAUCCUACAUGUACUUUCCACUUCAGUUUUAUAGUCCUUGUAUCUAGUAUUUCCCAAAUGCGGCAAAGCAAAUAUUCCCCCAGAACAUUUAUGCAAGAUACAUUCCCAUCCAGCUCACAAUCAUACAAGGCAGGAUGUAGUGACUUGCGCUCGGAUAAAUCACUAAAGUAACCAUAUUCAGAUAUAACAAACAGUUUGCAGUAGAGAAAAACCUGUUAUCAGGGUCAGUCUCGAGGGCCCUUUUGAUAUCCACCUCUGCCAAAUCCAAAUCAACAGGUUGAAUAUAUGCUUGAGCCCUUAGAUAUACUGCUUUCACGUUUCUAUUAUCAAGUUCUAACACCUAUAAAAUCACACAUGCCUAACUGUCAGCAUGAGUGAAUUAACAUUGACAUUUCAUCAAGACAAAUUCUAAAUGCCAAUAAAGCUAACAACCUUAGAGCACAGUUGCUCAGCCUGCUUGUAAUCUUUGAGUUUCAAUUUGCAAGCAGCAUUAUUAAGAUUGCACGUUACUUGUCCCAUUUUCACCCUUCUUCAUUGUUUUGAUACCCUCAUCCCAGCCCUUGAUUACUUGUCGUGCAAUUUAAGGAGAGAAACAAGUGAGCAUAUGCAGUUCAUGCUGUUACAGACAGACACUCCACAACCAAAACAGUCAACGAAAAUCUCCGUUGAACUGUUGAAAUUUGAAAGAUUUCACUUGUUCUCUCAAUGCUUCCAGGAAAGACAGACAUCCAAAUAUCAUACCAGACAGUAAUAUAUUUUACACGGCUUCAAUCGAACACAGAUCUUAGGCAUCAGACAUGAAAAAGAUCUUAAAACUUAGUCCUAUCUAAAUUCAGAUUUGAUAAGAAGAAUAUAGUUGAUGCCAACAAUUUUUAAAAAAACAAGCAUUCAUUAAGUAUUCCAUAUAUCAUCCAACUCAUUAUUCUAUGAUUAUCACAAAAUUCAUCAGACUUUAUUAAGUUAUUACACUGUUAUUAUCAAAAGGGUAAGUUGCAAGGACUAUUCAGAAAUGCUAGGCAGUUUCAAAAAGAUAUGGGGAGUCACCUUCUUAGCGAUAUGACUGUACAAUAUGUUAGUAUGUAAUUUGGCACCUAAAAUAUACUACUUUAACAAUUUAGUACCUAUAAAAAAAAUUCAUUCUAAUCGUACUUGUUUUCAUCAAGCAUUUUACACCUUUGACUAAGGAUGUUAGUCAAAUGUUGGUAUCACAAAUACUAACCAAUAAAAACGUGAUGUUUGACGAAAACAAAAUUCGAGUCUCUAACUAUGAAUUUUCUUUUAUAGGUACUAAAUUGUGAAAAGUGAUAUAAUUCAAGAGCUAAAUCACACAUUAACCCUUUAUAAUAAUAAAUACAUAAAUGUAUGACAGAAACACUUGAAAAUCAGAACUCGGAACAGUGAUUUCUGAAAACAAAUAAGGAGUUAAACUUCGAACUUAAGAAUUAGUGAUUUACACUUCCUUGAUAAGAACACCAGCUUUAACAGAGAGGUAACUAAAUUCAUUAAGAAAUGAAGCUGAACAUGCAUUUAAAAUAAAAGAAAAUUAGAUGAGUAAAAUUAUUCACCUGGGCCAAGCUUGAACUUAAAAGGAGUCUCCCUAUCCCGGCUGGAAUCAAACUUGGUUCCAUAAAGCAAAGUUCCAGUAUAAUGCACUGCAAAAAAACCAACAAACCCAUAAACUUAAAAAAUUCAAGAACAAAGAAGUAACAGAAGAAUAAAUGUAUGAGCUGAUUAAGGAAACUAUUAGGACUCGAUUAUGUAAAUUGCAUUCAAUUGCUGUUGACCCAAUCAACAAAGUUUUGUGUGAUGCUUGAAAUAUAAAUAAAGCUAUAUUGCAUAAUAAUUAGAAUAUGAUUUAAUUGUAUCUAUGGAGUGUAUGUACUGUAGUAAUUUUAUUGCUUCUUUUGGAUAAAUAAAAUAUAACUUAUCCCGAAAAAAAAAAAUCCUAAAGGAAAAAGGACAACCAAAGCAAUGAAGGAAGAAGAAGAAAGAGAGCCAUUACCUUUAACUUCAUCAACAUUGGAGGGCCUCCCAUCCUUCACCUUCCUUAAGCAGCUUUUUCUUCAGUCCAUUUUUCCCAAUCUCUUUCUCCUCACCAACUUUGAGGAUUGGGUUAACGGGGUCAUCUUGUGGGAUGUCCAUAUUUUCUUCUUCUUCAUCCAUGUUGUUGGCGGUUGGGAACUCGAAAUCGUCUUUCAUGGUUUGCGAGAUUAGCUGAGAGGAAAAUUUGAGCUUUUGAGUUAAGCAAUUAGCACAUGGUUGAAGGUCUUUCUCUGAUUAAUGCAAAGUGAUCUGAAACUACAGGAAUUUAAAGGUGAAGACGGAGAGAGUCCAGAGGCUCUAAAAGCUAACAGUCUAAAGAUAGUUCCAGAAUUCUCCCUUCUCUUUUUAGAGCCUUUGACACUGUCGUUGAGAUUAGGGCUGUAAACGAGCCAAGCCGAGGGGAAUAGUGAGAAGCUCGAGCUCGAACUUGACUCAUAAUUUGAGGUUCGAUACUUUAUUUGAGUUCGAUCGAAUUUUAUUUUUGAAGCUCGAGCUCGAUUUGUGAUCGAAUUCGAGCUACUCAAGCUCACUCGAUUAAGCUCGAUUAAUAUGUAAAAAUAAGCUCGAUUCGUAUACUCGACAAGAGUUCGAUUAUUUAUGCUCGAAUUCGAACUCGAAAUAUUUUAUUAAUUAAAAUAAUAAACAUAUAUUUAAAUAUAAAAGCUCGAUUAGGCUCGCAAGCUACUCGAAUCAGAUAUAAAAAUACUCAAAUUCGACUCGAUCGAUAAAUCGAGCUACUCGAGCUCGAGCUCACUCGACAAUAAUUGAACCGAAUUCGAAUUUUUUUCGAAUCGAAUCCGAAAUAACUUAUGAAUACUAAUGUAUCAUUUAUACCCCUAAUUGAGAUCUUCGCGCUUCUAUGAGAGCGCCUUAGGAUCUAUUGGUGCGUGGCAUGGCAUUUAAAUAAUUUGAUUUUUUUUUAAGUUCUUAAAUUACUUUUAAACUCUUUAUCUAACAACAUAAUUUAUUAAAGAGAAUAUUAUGCAUUUAAAUUUUUUCGAUUAUAUAAUAUUUAAAUAUUAAUUUUAAUAAUAUGUCAAUUAAUUUAAAAAUUAAUUAAUUGAUUAUUUUUUUUUAUAUAUAAUUCGAGUAAGAUAAAUUAUUUGAUGCAAUAAAAUUUUUUAAUUGUAUAAUCAAAGAUAAGAUAAGAAUAUAUACUUUAUUUUUUAAAAUAUAUACUAAAAUAUUUGUGUUAUUAUUUUAAUUUUGUUUAUGAAAUUAAAAAAUUUUGUUUUUCAAUAUAUUUAAUAAUUUCUCAUUCUAGUAAAUUCAAACAAAAACUAUAAGCUUCAAAUCCUAUUACAUGUAAAUUUAAUUAUUUAAUUAUAUUUUAAAUUAUUAGUUGAUUAUUUAGCGAUUGUAACUUAUUAUAAUAGAAUAAUUGAUUAUUUGACUAUUUAUAUGAAUAUAAUACUUAAUUAUAAUUAUAAUUUUAAAAUAACUUAAUUUAAAUAAUUUCAUUCGUUUUAUUUAAUUUUGAUAUGAAUCUAUUAGAAAAUUUUUUUAUUCAGUUACUUUGAUCAAUUACCGAUUUUUAAAAUUUAUAAUGAAAUAAAACAAAUUAAUCUAAUCUAUUAAUUUAUUUUUAAAUAUAAUAUAAAUACAAUAUAAUUUACAUAACAUUUUAAAAUCUUAUAUAUAAUACAAUAUAUAAUAAAAUAUAAAAUAACUUUCAUGUAAAAGAAAAUAAAUAUUUAAAAAAUCAUUUAUAAGUCUCAAUCGAUAUUAAAUAUACCAUUUUACAAAUAAACAUCUCUUAAUUCAUGAAUAAUCAUCACUUUUGAAACGACACAACAAAAUUUUUAAAUUUUCUAUAAAAAAAUUCAAAUGCCCUUGCCAUAAUAUUCAUUGCAACGUUCGAAGUCAUAGAAUCUCUAAGCCAAAUCAAUUGCCCCUAUUGGAUAUUUCUACUUAACUCUUUGCUAAUUUCAUUGGCUUUUAAUUAACAUUUAUUGGUUGGAGUGAUUAAAAAUUUUAAUUUUUUUAUAUAAAAUUUUGAUUUUGAAUAUUAUAAAUAAAAAAAUAUUUAUUAAAAAUAUUUAUUUUUUUAUAAGAUCCGAUUUGAUUCAACUUUAAAUUAGUUAACAUUCAAAAUAGCUACUUGACAUUGAAGAUCUUAGACAAAAAAAAAAAUUUCAUUGGUUUUUUAGUAAAUUUGGAGCAAAUCAUUACAAAAGCAUGGAACUCUUUUGAAACAAAAGUUGGUUUUGUCUAAAGCUUGAGACAACAUGUUAUUCAUUAAGUCACAACUUGUAAUAAAUUUAAUUGUUUGUCUCAUAAUGUCCAAAUCACUUUUGAUUUUGUUUUUAAUAAGUUUGACCACCCAUCUCUUUCUAUAAUGCUUCAUAAUACUAUCUUCUAAAGUCAUGUUUAUAUAUCUAACCUAAUAUUCUCAUUUCAACCAUGCUAUUUUUUUUUUUAGGGGGUUUAUUAUUAUGUCUAGCAAAGUUAUUUCUUAAGUAAAUUCAAGAUUUUAUUUAAUUAUUUUAUAAAAUCAUUUUUAUAAAAUAAUAUCUAAUAAAUUUAUUUAAGAUUCAAUAACUUCUAUUAUAAAAAUACAUUUGGGCAGUUGGAUGCCCGACAGAAGGUGGUAGGAUGUCCAAUCAGGAAAGCAUUUUGUCUUAGAAAUGAACUUAGCCCAUUUAAGAUUCAAAAAUAAUUUGAAAGUUUUAAAAUUUGGGAUAUUUAGUUUUGAGUUCAAAUCUUAUUUUAAGCGAAUUUAUUCUAAUUUUAUGCUUAAUUUUAUUAAUUUAAAAUAACAAAAUUCCCUAAGACUUGAUUUGGAUUUAAAAAUAGCCUCGAUGAGUUGUGAUUAGAGAUGCUAAUUGUGAUACAAAUUAAAUGAUAAAAAUUCAUCUAGAUACAAUAAAAAUAUAAAAUUUUAUUUAAAAAAUUAGAAUCGUUCAAGAUUUUUUUUUAUAGUAAUUUAGCCUUUCAAAUUUAACCUCAUUUUAUUUUAUUUUUUCAACAUUUGUCAUUCGUUUGUCUUCCUUUAAAUUUUUUAUUUAAAAGUUUUCAAAUGGUUUUUGUUUAACAAGAUCAAAUUAUUAAUUUUAAUUAUUUAUUAACAAAAUUAAUAUUUAAUAUAAAAUAAUUUAAUAAAAUUUAAAUAAUUUAAAUUUUAUUAUUACAUUUAAAUUUUAAUUUAAUAUCUUUAAUAAUUAUUUUUUAUUUAAUUGUAAUUCAUCUCAAGAUCAAAUUAUUUUUACAUUCAAACAUAUAUCCAUAAUUAAUUUUAAUUUUAUAUUAUUAUAAUCAAUUUAAUAACUAAUUGAAUCUUUAUUUUUUUUUAAUUUUACUAUUUAUCGAAACAGAUCAUAAACUUAAAUAACUAUUUGGAAUGAGCAAAAUCAAUUUUAAUCAAUUUAAUGAACCGAAACCAAUUGAACUUCGUCAAGUAAGUUCAGUAUGAUUUUGAUAAUGAUUAAUUAAAAGAAUAUUUAAUUGAUUAAUUAGAUUGAUUUUUAAUAGUUAAAAUUAAUAUUAAUGUAUUUAAAAAAAAAUAUUAAUGUAAAGCAAACUAGAACGUGAUUGUUGAAUCUUGAAGCAAAAUUUGAGGGAUUUUAUUGUACUAAAAUAAUCCAAAAGAAAUCCAAAUCCUAAUGCAUCGGUACAAGAAUGGAAAGCACGUAACCUCCCCUAAUUACAAAUCUUCCCUAUAAAUACCCACUUUUUAGUGCAAGUUCAUUUCUCGCUUUUCAAAACACAGCUCCUCCGUUCUCUCUUUGUCUCUCGGUGACCCCUUUCUCUCCAGUUUCUCCUGGGGGGUCGCCCAAAAUCAGAAAAAAAAAAUAAAAAAAAGAAAAAAAGAACCUAAUUUUCUCAUUCAAUUCCUAAAUUGAUAUUCAAAUCAAGUUUUAAAAAAAUUGUUUUCAGUUUUUUCAAUUAAUUUUCAACUUCGUCGGAAAUGGCGAACGCGGAUCCUGAAGGGAUAGACGCCGUACGGAUGACGUGGAACGUUUGGCCGCGCACCAAAGUCGAAGCCAGCAAGUGUGUGAUUCCGUUAGCGGCUUCAAUUACUCCGAUCCGUUCACACCCGGAUAUCCCAACGCUCCCUUACGCUCCUCUACGAUGCAAGACGUGUUCCGCCGUCCUCAACGCCUACUCGCGCGUUGACUUCACGGCCAAGAUCUGGAUCUGCCCGUUCUGUUACCAGCGUAACCAUUUUCCGCCUCACUAUGCUAUGAUCUCCGAAACGAACCUGCCAUGCGAACUCUACCCGCAAUACACCACUGUGCAGUACACGCUCCAACCGAAUCCCGAUCCAAACAACCCUUCCAAUGCUCCUCAAUUGCCACCAGUGUUUGUGUUCGUGUUGGACACGUGCAUGAUCGAGGAGGAGCUUGGGUUUGUUAAAUCGGCGAUGAAGCAGGCUAUUGGAUUAUUGCCAGAACACGCGCUUGUCGGUUUCGUUUCUUUUGGGACUCAGGCACAGGUCCAUGAAUUGGGGUUCUCGGAUAUGUCGAAGGUCUAUGUUUUCAGGGGUAGUAAGGAGAUUUCCAAGGAGCAAGUGUUGGAGCAGUUGGGCCUCGGUGCUGCUGGGCGGCGGCCAACCGCUGGGUAUCCGAAGGGCCUGCAAAAUGGAUAUACAAAUACCGGCGUUAACCGGUUUUUAUUGCCUGCUUCAGAUUGCGAAUACACUCUCAAUUCGGUGCGUUUUGAUUUUUCUUUUUGUCGUGGGAAUUAAUUUUUUAAAUGUUUGAAUUUUUUUAUUAAGUGGUUGGUUGAUUUUAAUGUAGUUAUUGGAUGAGUUGCAAACGGAUCAAUGGCCUGUACAAGCGGGACACCGGGCGUUGAGGUGCACCGGAGUGGCCUUAAGUGUUGCAGUAGGAUUGCUUGGAGCCUGCUUGCCCGGUACUGGUGCUAGGAUUGUUGCUUUGGUUGGUGGCCCAUGUACUGAAGGGCCAGGCACGGUAAUGCCAUUAAAGUCUCUGUUUAGAUUCUGAAUUCGUAGCUAUUCUACAAUUAAGUGAUACAAUCGUUAGUGAGGCAUUUAUCAUUUGUUUUCUCAUGAACUGUAUGUAGUUUAUGGGAUCUAACGCAAAUAAUAUGUGAUGGUUGAGAUGGAUAUGGUAUGUUGUAAUUAGUAUGAACUUUAUUUUUGCUGCAAUCCUGAAUGUUCCAUUUGCUGUUGUUUCAAUAAUAUAUUUUUGCAUUUUACUUUUCUCUAUGGUUACAACUUUUUUUUUUUGUGUAAAUAAUGUAAAGUUUCUGUCCCAUGGUUUUUUGGGGAUGAUAUUUGAUAAAAGCUGCAGGCAAUCCAUACAGAAGCAAAAUGAAUUUGUAGACAGAUCACAACAACUGGAGCCCAUUGUAAUAUGAAACAUGGCUAUGUUUAGAGGCUCCAUCUUUGUUUGAUUAGCUUUGAAUGUUGGUGCAUUUACUUUGUACAAUUGGUUAAAAAGAGAAAUUUUAUUUCAUAAAGAUUAUUCCUGUUAGCUCCAUUAUGUCUACAACGUUUUUGUCAAACUUUCAUGUUACCCUAUAGUUUCAUAUAGCUUGUUGGCUUGUUGCCUUAAUGUUUGCUGUUUCUUUGUGCAAGACAAGUGUCGUUCUUAAUUACAUUGUAGUUGUAGGAAUAAUUCAUACGCAACAAUGAUUUAAUUGAGAAAAUGGAGAUUAAGCAAAUAAUCUUCAUUUGAGCAUUGCUUCUUGUUUAAUUUGUAUUAACAUUCUUGGUUGUCAUCAAGAUGAUACUGAUUUAUAUGAUUUUUGCAGAUUGUAUCGAAAGACUUGUCAGAACCUGUACGUUCACAUAAAGAUCUGGAUAAGGAUGCUGCACCAUAUUUUAAGAAAGCGGUCAAAUUUUAUGAUAGUCUUGCAAAACAGCUGGUCAGCCAGGGUCAUGUACUAGACCUUUUUGCAUCUGCACUUGAUCAGGUCUGUUUGGCCACCUUUUAGGUUCUAUAUUUAUAUUUAAACUCAUUUUUGUUCAUGAAUCUGUCUAUAUGCCAGAACUAGGUUGAUUUGCUUCAAUGCACUUAUGUCAUACCUAUAAUGUGUUGGCUUUCAUCUUCUGUCCAACCUAGUUAGAAGUUGCAUCACUCUAUUAAUAAGGAUGGAGUCAUUAGACAAAACUUUUUGGUUCUUUCCCGCCUUCUUAAUCGGUCCGAUGGAUUGAAGAAGCUGCUGAAGCUGAUAGGAUACAAGGACCCUAAUUUUAUUUGGAAACUUGAACAACCCAAUAUGUAAUUCUUACUUUACAAAACUCUCUCUCUCUCAUUUAUAAUUUACCAAUUAUUUAAGACAGUGGAAAUAUGAGGACAUUAAGGCUUGAUUUUUGCCAUGCUUCUUCAAUUUGUGGGCUGUGAUGUAAAUGUUUUAUUGUGUAGAAAACUGUGGAUGACUGGAUUCUAAUAGUUAUUGCAUUUACCAUGGGUACAAACCUUUUAUUUUAAAUGAAUGUCAAUAAUUUCAGACAUUAAUAAUCUUCUAAAUGUUAACUGUACAUAAAUAUGUUAUGGUUUUUUUGUGUGUUGUCAGGUUGGAGUUGCUGAAAUGAAAGUUGCAGUUGAAAGGACAGGUGGCCUUGUUGUUCUAGCUGAAAGUUUUGGUCAUUCUGUAUUCAAAGACUCUUUCAAGCGUGUCUUUGAGGAUGGAGAACAGUCUCUUGGCCUAUGUUUUAAGUUAGUUCUUGUCACCACACCAAAACUUCUUGUUCUUUUUCAACUUUUUAGGUUUACUUUUCUCUUCUCUUAUCCAUGUUGUUGAUAACUAUAUAGUUGCAUUCUUAAUUGGUGAACUUGCAUUUUUAUUCCAGUUCUAGUUGUCCUUGUAUUAUUUGUUUGAGUUCUAGAUGUGCCAACCACCCCGUGUGCCUUUAACUUAGUUGUGACACCAUUCACACUAGGUGAUGCUGCUGUUAGAGAAUGUAAAUUUUUGACAUAGCUUGCUGACCUUGCUAUUCUGCUGGAAGCAGAGCACAAGUUUAUCAAAUUGGUAUAUGAAAAUUACUAUACACUGGUAUUCUAUAUUGGCGUUACCCUUUUGGCUUCAUAGGUUUUCUAAAUGUUGCCAAUGCCUGUGCUUGUAUUGUUGAAAGAGGUGUUAGUAUUAUGACGCUGCAGUGGGAGUGUUAUUGUUGAUUUCUGUUAAAAUCCUGAUUUUAAAUUUAAUGCUGAUUGCCAGAAAUGAACUCUCACUACCAUGUGGUUACCCAUGAAAUUAAUUUAUAUGGUCCGGCAUUAGCUUUAAUUUUGCAAUUGCUUUAGCUUAAGCUUUUUUAUCCACAUGCAUUAUCUGUAAUUUAUGAUUGGCUAUGGCAUGGUUUGGAGCACCCAGAAAUUUCAACUAUUUUAGCUGUAGUAUAAAAUUUCAAACUUAUUAUAAGCUACUUUUUUUUUUUUAAUUUUUCUUUUUAGUGGCAUGCUCGAGAUUAACUGUUCAAAAGACAUCAAGAUUCAGGGGGUCAUUGGACCUUGCACAUCUUUGGAGAAGGUUGGAUGAUUUAACAAUUUAAUAACAUCUCUUGGCCUCUCUAUAUAGAGACACACUCUAAACUGUAGACUGGAUUUACUUGUAUUUAUGGGCAUUUAAGCUGAUUAGCAUGAGUGUUGCAGAAAGGACCUAAUGUCGCCGACACAGUCGUUGGGGAGGGGAACACUACAGCAUGGAAAAUGUGUGGUCUCAACAGGAGUACUUGCUUGACGGUUUUAUUUGAUCUUUCAUCAACUGAGCGAUCAAAUGUUCCAGGAGCUGCAAAUCCACAGCUCUAUUUGCAAUUUCUUACUAGGUUUGCUGCAUGAACCACCCAAAAGGGUCCUUUUAUUUACCUUAAUGUUAAAUAUAUUUGAUUGUUUCUUUACUUUGUUCCUUUAGUAAUUUGAUCAGUGUUGUUUAAGGCAAGUGCCCAGGUGUUGUGCUUGGUGCCAGAUAACAAAAGUGCCUCUAAGUGCAUUUGAUCAGGUGCCACACCUGGUGCACUUUUUUAAGGCAGUAGGCGCAAAAAAGCCUGCCUUGUUGAAGUUCUCUUUAAUUUCUUUAAUUUUUAAUUUUUUCGUAAACUCUACCUUUAGUAGUGAAAAUAAAAAGGACAAUAUUGAGCUCUCUACUUCUCAAUGUUUGAGUAUUCAACAAUAAACAUGGGAUCAUAACGAAAUCAUGCAUAUUGGCCAAAAAAUGAACAGGAAAAUUUUGCAUGUUUCGUCGGAUAACUGGAUCACCCUUAAGAGUUUAUUAUCAGAAAUCUUAAGCAUAUUAUAUACAUAGAUGCACAUGUACAAAAACACACGCUUAGACAUAUUGCGCCUUAUUUCACUUGGGUGAGGGCUUUUUUUGCACCUUGUCUCUCCGGCAAUAUAAGGGUUCAAGUGCCUAGUGCCCAUCUUGUUCCCUUGACAACACUGAAUUUGAUUGUGAUGUUGUUUAUCUAAUUGCAGUUAUCAGGACCCUGAAGGUAAAAUGAUGCUUCGAGUUACGACUGUGACAAGACAAUGGGUAGACAGUGCUGUUAGUGCAGAGGUUAGUUUAGAUAAGUGUCAUUUUCAUUUUUUCCAUUUCAUCCAUUUUUGUGUUUUGUUAAAUAUGUCCCAUUUGGCCACAUUUAAGAGUUUUUUUUUUUUUUUGGGGGGGGUUUAUAGGGUGUGUUAAAUUUAGACAUGGUAUGUUGUCUGAUGUGUAUAAAUGUCACUGCCAUAUGCAUCUUGGAAUCCGUAUAUAUGAUUGCAUUAUUUUUUGUUGGAAUUAAUUUAUGCUGGGGGGUAUAGGACAUGGUUUUUUUCUAAUGCAUAUAAAUGUCACUUGCCAUAUGCGUUGUUGUUUGUAUAUAUGAUUGAUUAUUUCGUUGGCAGAAUUUGAUGGAAUUAAUUUAUGCUUACUUUCAAUAAUAUCUCCUUCUAGGAACUAGUACAAGAGUUUUGAUCAAGAGGACUGCGGCUGUUGUAAUGGCAAGAAUAGCUUCCCUGAAAAUGGGAGACAGAGGUAUUUAAAAAAUCUUUAUAUUCAUUUUCUUAAGUUUGUUGAUUUCUUGUGUUGGAUGUAUUCACUGUCAACCUAUAGCUUAUUUAGCUGAUACCUUCUGCUUAAUUAUUUAUGAUUUUUUUAUCAAAUAAUGUCCACUCUUUUUCUGUAUUUGUAUUAUUGAUAAGAACUUUCUCUCUUUAACUUUUUGCCCUAUUGUUUUGUGGUUCUCUCUACUUGCUUUUCUCCUAGCCUUGACCUGCCCCCUUUUUUAUAUUUUCUAUCUAUUAUUUGUUGACCCCUUGCCAAUACAAUAACAUGGUUAAAUGUUGCUUGUGAUAAUUUUUUCUCAUUAAUUAUUUUUGUCUUUUUGUUUCAUUAGGAGGGGUUUGAUGCUACACGGUGGUUAGAAUCGGAAUCUUCAUUCGACUUGUUCCAAAUUUUGGCGACUACCAGAAGAGAUGAUCCAUCCAUCUUUUACCUUAAACCCGUUGCUUUGUCUUUGUUUCCUCAAUUUAUGUUUUAAUCUGCGGCUGGUCACAAUUUGUACAGGUAAAUUGUUUUCUUUUUUCUAAUUUCCUACUGUUUAUAUAACAUUUUAAUGUGACCUAUGUUCAUAAAUGAACUUUCUUUCCGUUUUAUGUGGCAGGUUCUUUAACAACAGUCCAGAUGAAAACUUGGCCUAUUUUAGAAAUGUUAUGAACAGGGAAAAUAUAACUAAUGCAGCUGUUAUUGAUUCAACCAUCAUUAAUAUCAUAUUCAUUCAACUCGCUGCCCCAACCAGCAUUAUUGGAUGUGGCUUCCAUUUCAGCUGACCGUAUUCUCUUGCUGGAAUUCAUAUUUCAGUAUUGUUGUUUUCCAUGGUAUGACAAUAGCGCAGUGGCGCAACAUGGGCUACCAGAAUCAGCCGGAACACCAGGUAUGUUUAUUUUGUUUAUGCUACUGUUAAUCUAGAGUUUAAUGUAAGAUUUCUUUAGAAACCAUUACAUUCAUAAUGUUCCAAAGUGACUUUCAGGAAACAUGCCUGAUGUUGGUCUUCUUUUUACAUUAAGAUAAUAAUGUUUGAUCACUUUUCAGUUUGAGAUAAGCUGGAGCUGUGGUGAUUUUGAGGUCUCUCUAAGCCAGUAGUAAAGUUUUAUUAUUCUUAUUAUAAUAUUACUCAUUCUUGUGGGAUAUUAUCCUAAACUACUGACAGAAGAAAAACCCCUUGUACCACCACCUUGUAGCUCUGAAAUGGAAAACUAUGAGGUUAAUCAUAAUGAUAUGCUAAAAUAUAGUGAAUAUUAUGAAUUUCUUCUAAAAUAGAGUAUGCUUUGUUGGAUAAGGCUGGUGCAUAGUCGUGUUUGUUGAAAUGACUCCUGGCAUCAUAUAUUGGACCAGUUUAUAGGAUUAAUAAGCGUUUUAUGCAUACUUUAUAAUGUCUCAUUUCUAAAGCUAAAUAAUUGCUCAUUUUAUGUUCAUCUGGCAAUGCUUUACUCUAAGCUAUAGGAAGAGGAUGCCAAUAAGAUAUCCUUACCAGGCAAUUGGCUUUAUUUAACCUGGUUCUAUCUUUACCGGUUUAAGAACUUUCAUUGAUAAUUUUUGUAUUUUGCUUACUGACUUUCUCCUAUGUCAUAUAGUGGCUUAUAACCUAGGUGCUGGUUUUGAACUUCAAUUUUCUUGCUAUAUGAUGUACUUCUUGUACUUUUGCACUUCUGUUAUUUUGGGAGAGUUAAAAUUUGUAUAAUAGAGGAACAUAGGGACUUGUUCCAGGGGUGAGAGAUAUGGUAUAUGGCAUAUUUUGUUUGCAAUGUCCAUUUAUUUGUUAAGCUCUGAAUUUGCAAUAUUAUAUUAGAUUGUUGGGAAUUUGCCUGUUCUUCAAUGAAGUUCUAAUGCAGCUUAAGUUCCAACUGGUUAGUACCCAAUAUCUAUGUUCCUACAGUCUAUGAUUCUGUUGUCUAAACCUUAAUUUUUUUUUUCAACAGGCAUUUGCCACAGCUUUUGCAAGCACCCCAUGUCGAUGCCCCAGAUGAUUAUUCGGGAACGCUUCCCUGUCCCUAGAUUGGUUGUAUGUGAUCAGCAUGGAUCCCAGUCAGUACAUUUCUUAAACUGAUAUUUUUGGAGAUAUUAAAAUAUGUCCUUGAUUUGUCCUUUGUGAAUUUCAUCAUUUUUAAAUAGAUGCUACUACAAAGUGUCGCUUCUAUCUGAAUUUAUUUUAAAUUUGCAACACAAUCUUUAAGAAAUUUACCACUUUCUAAAGUACAUUUGUUAUGGUGGUUAAACCGAGAGUGCAAGUACAUCUAAUUUGCUCCGAAUUCUUUGCACAAAUCCUCAGAAGCUUGAUAAAGGUAGCAAGCACAGACUGUUUUAUUGUUACAAUUUAGCUUGAUCAUUCAGCAUUUCUGGUUCAUGGUACCUUCUGUGGGUUUAGCGUUGAUAACUUUUUUUUCCGCUAUGAUGUGAUCACUAUAUUCUUCUAUUCAUCUAGUUUCGUGUUCAUCUCGACCUUUUCCUUCAGUCUGAUGUUACGGUUGGGUAGCAGCAUAUAGCUAUCUUAAUAUUUCCUUAUUUCGUUGCUUUUUCCCAUUUAUAGUGAAUUUGAACUGGUUAGCAGUAGAUUGGGGACCUUACCAAUUGUUUCGGUGUUUUUUUUUUUUUUUUUUGUGACCUUACUGACUAUCUAGUUUGGAAUAUCCUGAUGCAAAUAUAUUCCUUUGUUAUCUAUCAUACAAUGAUUUUGAAAAGCUAGGCUGUCUUGAGCUAAGCUAUCCUUGCCCCUUAGUAUGAGUAUCACCUUUUUAGGUACACCUAAAGGGCACUUGGGGAAAUCAUUUACCAUUUAGCAGUAUUAUGUGGCUGCAUGUUUUCCUGUACAGUUUUGCACAGAUACCAGUAACUGGUUUUCUAUGUUGUGAAUUCUUCGUUCACAAUGUAACAGAUGCAGUGAGCCAAAGUUUCACAAGUGUUGGGUCUGAAUUGAACCAUGCCAAAUCCCUCUAAUCAAAUCCACAAAAAAGAGGGGUGUCAUGAUUGUGGCUUUGCUACUUUUGGGUCCAUUAAUCGAGCUUCUGUACUUGAUUUGCAAAGCCAAAGUUUCUAAUAUUAAUAAUUCAAUACCCCCCUCCCUUUCCAUUUUUUGUUACUCACCAAGCCAAUUCUGUAUUUUACCUUGAAGGCAUAAAAUUGUUAACUCUUUUUAAAAAAAAAAAUAAAUUGGGCUUUUUACAUUACCCAAGUGGCUUAUUUUUGUUUCCUUGUGCAGGCAAGAUUUUUGUUAGCAAAGUUGAACCCAUCAGCAACAUACAAUAAUGCCACCGAUGUAGCUGUUGGAUCAGAUAUAAUCUUUACGGAUGAUGUAAGCUUACAAGUCUUCUUCGAGCAUCUUCAGAGGUUGGCUGUGCAAUCUUGAUUGUAGAAAAUAGUUGAAACACUUUGGUUUCUAGUACGGGAAAUCCCCUCAGUGUGAGUUCUGUAUCCUGUUAUACAUCCUCUGGUCCUUCGGUUCUUUUUCCUUUCCAUAAAUUUCAUCAACAAGAGGUCAGACCCCACGAUAUUUGGGGAAAUAAGGGAUAGCAAAUAUCAUUCUUUGGGGGCGCCGCUGCGUUGGAGAGGUAUUUGCGUUCCUUGAACGAAAUAAGGGAUGCGACAAAGAGGUCAGUCUGAGUUUUUACAUUUUAUAGGGAGAGGAAGGUAUAUGAUGAUGAGAAUGUAAGUUUGAGGAUCCCCUGUUUCAGUAGGAAUAUAUUUAGACAGGAAUUUUUUUCUCCUUUUGUGAAUUCAAUCAGGUCACAGUUGGAUAUGUUUGUGUACUGAAUUUCAGGUCAUAUACUCAUUGCCUAGGUUGAGAACAUGGUUCAUUUUGUUUUUUUUUGUCUCAGCCCACACUUCAAAGUUCAAAGUACCUAGGUUGAAAUUCAAAGACUCCUUUCUGGUUUGGUAAGUCAUAAGCUGAUGGAAUCAGGAUUUUUGUUUCAUAAUGGUUCAUUUUCUUUUUAAUUUUUUGCAAAUUUUUUUGGAAAGGCAGUGGUAGCAAACCAAUUAACUAAGUGAAUUAAGAAACAGGCUUGGCGAGGAAAGAGCUGAGAAAAUGAUAUUAAAAAAAAAGGGAAGAAACAAUGUAAAAUGAGGGGGAAAAUAAAAAAUGAAACAAAAUAGCGGGAAAAAGCUAAUGUAAAAGAAAAAAAAAAGAACAUAGAGGAAAUAAAAAUGAAAAAAAUAAAACGAAAUUAUAAUAUAAAAUUAAAUUUGAUAAUCUUAAAUAAGUUAAAGGUGAUACAAUACGAAUGUAAUAUUAAAAAUAAAAAUAAUAUGAUUUAAAUUAUAAUAAAAUUUAUAUAUGAUAAAAAUUAAAAUUAAAAAAUAUUUUGUAUGUAAAGAAUUAGCGUGAAUUAUGAUAUUUUAAUUUUUGUUUUUUUAUGAAAUAAAUAUUAAUUUUUUUAUUAACUAUAUUUAUAUAAAAUAUUAAUAAAGCCCCGCUCCCGCUAAAAUUCAAAAAUCAACUGCUUUCUCUCUCCGAAAAUGUUGAUGGAAGAUUCACAAGAACCGGACGUCCCUUUCUCUCUCGAUCAAGAACCAGCUAUAAUCCAAUGCUCCCAAGGCCACCGGACCACCCUCUCCCUCCGCACCGAACAAGGCGGCUCGAUCUGCCUCCUCUGCCUCUCCAACCUCAUCUCCAACCCACGCGCUCCCACUCUCCACGUCUCCUACGCUCUCGCCCAACUCUGCAACGCUAUUUCCCAACCUCUUUUCCUUAANNNNNNNNNNNNNNNNNNNNNNNNNNNNNNNNNNNNNNNNNNNNNNNNNNNNNNNNNNNNNNNNNNNNNNNNNNNNNNNNNNNNNNNNNNNNNNNNNNNNNNNNNNNNNNNNNNNNNNNNNNNNNNNNNNNNNNNNNNNNNNNNNNNNNNNNNNNNNNNNNNNNNNNNNNNNNNNNNNNNNNNNNNNNNNNNNNNNNNNNNNNNNNNNNNNNNNNNNNNNNNNNNNNNNNNNNNNNNNNNNNNNNNNNNNNNNNNNNNNNNNNNNNNNNNNNNNNNNNNNNNNNNNNNNNNNNNNNNNNNNNNNNNNNNNNNNNNNNNNNNNNNNNNNNNNNNNNNNNNNNNNNNNNNNNNNNNNNNNNNNNNNNNNNNNNNNNNNNNNNNNNNNNNNNNNNNNNNNNNNNNNNNNNNNNNNNNNNNNNNNNNNNNNNNNNNNNNNNNNNNNNNNNNNNNNNNNNNNNNNNNNNNNNNNNNNNNNNNNNNNNNNNNNNNNNNNNNNNNNNNNNNNNNNNNNNNNNNNNNNNNNNNNNNNNNNNNNNNNNNNNNNNNNNNNNNNNNNNNNNNNNNNNNNNNNNNNNNNNNNNNNNNNNNNNNNNNNNNNNNNNNNNNNNNNNNNNNNNNNNNNNNNNNNNNNNNNNNNNNNNNNNNNNNNNNNNNNNNNNNNNNNNNNNNNNNNNNNNNNNNNNNNNNNNNNNNNNNNNNNNNNNNNNNNNNNNNNNNNNNNNNNNNNNNNNNNNNNNNNNNNNNNNNNNNNNNNNNNNNNNNNNNNNNNNNNNNNNNNNNNNNNNNNNNNNNNNNNNNNNNNNNNNNNNNNNNNNNNNNNNNNNNNNNNNNNNNNNNNNNNNNNNNNNNNNNNNNNNNNNNNNNNNNNNNNNNNNNNNNNNNNNNNNNNNNNNNNNNNNNNNNNNNNNNNNNNNNNNNNNNNNNNNNNNNNNNNNNNNNNNNNNNNNNNNNNNNNNNNNNNNNNNNNNNNNNNNNNNNNNNNNNNNNNNNNNNNNNNNNNAAUUGGCCAACAUUUGCAUAGCAUGCAUUGAAAUUCAUAUGCAUUUGCAUAGCAUACACUACUUUCAGGAAAGUAUAGUGUACAAAUUCAAGAAGCAGGGGUGUUCCAACAUCCCACAUGAAAAAGACAAAUAUGAAAAGACUUUGCAAGUUUGAGAAGAAACUUGUUAGGUAAGUUCCUAAUCCUUGAAAUAGGACGUCUCUUGGUAUCAGGGUUGAUUUAUAAGACCUUUGGGCAUGAUCUCCUGAAAUUCUCUCAAACACAACUUUCAACUCCUUCGGACAUGAUUGUCUAGGAGAAUUUACUUUUCCAAAGUCGUGGUACCUUUGUUUAGAGGAGCAAUUUACUUUUCAAAGUUCGUUGCCUCUGUUUAGAGGAGCAAUUUACUUUUCCAAAGUCGUGGUGCCUCUGUUUAGAGGAGCAAUUUAUUUUUCAAAGUUUCGUUGCCUCUGUUUAGAGGAGCAAUUUAUUUUUCCAAAGUCGUGGUACCUCUGUUGAGAGGAGCAAUUUACUUUUCCAAAGUCGUGAUACCUCUGUUGAGAGGAGCAAUUUACUUUCCAAAGUCGUGGUGCCUCUGUUUAGAGGAGCAAUUUACUUUUCCAAAGUCGUGGUGCCUCUGUUUAGAGGAGCAAUUUACUUUUCCAAAGUCGUGGUACCUCUGUUGAGAGGAGCAAUUUACUUUUCAAAGUGCGUGGUGCCUCUGUUUAGAGGAGCAUUUACUUUUCAAAGUCGUGGUGCCUCUGUUGAGAGGAGCAAUUUAUUUUUCCAAAGUCGUGGUGCCUCUGUUUAGAGAACUUCGGCAAAAAAACAAAAAAAAAACAAAAAAACAAAAAAACAAAAAUUUUUUUUAAAAAAAAGAUCAAAAAAUAAAAAUGUUGAGUUGAGUCUUGAUUGGUGUCUACGUCUUUGCGCAAUUUCUGUUUCACAGAAAAUGUGCAAAGAGGGCAGCUGUAGACACCCAAUUGGGGUCGGCCCAGCAUCAAUUGAGCCUGCCCAAAUAGUAGGGCCCAAUUCAAUUUGUCCUGUAUUAUUUUGUAUUUUAUGUAUUUAUUAUUAUGUAUAUAUUUAUUUAUUAUUAUUUUUUUUUAGAUUAGAUUUAUAUGUAUAUAGUUAUAUAUUUAUUAUUAUCUGUUCUGAUUUUUCCUGAUUAUCAGAUUUUUUUUUACUAUAAUAUCUUUUGAUUUAUCUUUUCUAAUUAUCUAGUAUUUUUUAUUUAUUUUGAUUUUAAUUUUGGAGGGCUAAGAUUCAAGGCUGAAGAAUCCCACUGUGGAGGGGAACUCAAUCAGAAGAGUCCAGUGGGAUUCAAAGAUUGAAUUCCUGUCCAAGGAGGAAUUGGGAUUGAUCAGGAACUCCUGAUCAAUCCCUAUAAAAGGGACCCUCCUGGGACAGAUCAAGGACACACAGAAAACAGUAAGCAAAGCUACUGAUUUGAGAGAAAAGGAGGCGUAUAGGAAGCUAAGAAAAGUUUAGGAGUGUUCUGGGAGUGAGGAAAAAUUUUUAGAAAUUUUUGGCGAAAAUUUUUUUCUGGAAAUUUCUGGGAAAUUUCCAGAAUCCGACGAAAAUUCCGGCGAAAUUUGAAUUUUUCGGCAACAAUUCCGGCGAACAUUGAAGUUUCCGGCGACCAGUCCAGUUUUCGCGCGAAGAAUCCCAGAAACCGGCGAUAUUCCGGCCAACUUCCGGCUGAAUUUUCAGAUUUCAGCGAAAAUUUCCAGAAUCCGGCACCGGUGUUCUUCAGUUUCUAGAGAGAAGGGAGAGAAAAAGGAAGAAGAGAGAGAGAGGGGAGAAGCGUUCUGCCAAAAACGGAGGAAGGUGCCUUUUAUACCUUCCCAAAACGACGUCGUUUUGGCCUUAAGUAACCCAGAGGAUCCGCGCGUUUUGUCGAACCCGACCCGACCCGGGCGUCGACCCGCUUUCUGACCCGUGCGUGCCAGCCCCCCUCCGAGCCGAGCCGAGCCGAGCCAAGCCUCCGAAGCCACUCCCCCGAGCCGUUUUCUCUUCCUUGAGCCGAGCCGCGAUCCGAGCCGCUCCAGGUUUUUUUUUUUUGAAUUUUUUUUAUUAUUUCUUUGUUUAUUUGUUUAUUUUAUUUUUUAUUUAUUAUUUAUUAGAUUAGGUUUAUGUAAUAUUCCUUUUAUUUAUUUUUUAUUAUUAUUUUUUCUUUAAAUAAAAAUAAAAAUUCUAAAAAAAUAUAUUUUUGGGGAAAAGUUGAAAGUAUCAAUUUCCUUAAAAGAAAAAUAAAUUUCCAAAAUAAAAAUAUUUUUAGGGAAAAGUUGAAAGUAUCAAUUUUCCUUAGAAAUAAAUUUCCAAAAAAUAUUUUUGGGGAAAAGUUGAAAGUAUCAAUUUUCCUCAGAAGUAAAUUUCAAAAAAAAAUAUUUUUAGGGAAAAGUUGAAAGUAUCAAUUUUCCUUAGAAAUAAAUUUCCAAAAAAAAUAUUUUUACUUAAGAAUAAAUUUGAAAAAAAAUAUUUUUAGGGAAAAGUUGAAAGUAUCAAUUUUCCUUAUAAAUAAAUUUUCAAAAAAAGGGUUUUUGAGGAAAAGUUGAAAGUAUCAAUUUUCCUUGAAAAUCGAAAUUUCCAAAAAAAUAUUUUUGGGGAAAAGUUGAAAGUAUCAAUUUUCCCUAAAAAAAAUCAUUCUUUUCUUCCUUUCUAUCUUAAUUUUGAUUUUGUUUUUUUCUUUAAAUAAUCCGACGACGGAGCCUCUGUAAGUGAAACAGUAGUUUUUCUUGCAUACUCUUGAGGUGAGGGAAUUUUCUCAAUUUUCUGCUAAAAAUAUUAGAGUCAAUUGAGAAAAGUUUUCCAAUAAUUAAUUACUUGGUAAAAUUUUAAGGCUUUUGGAUAACACAAAUUCAAGCUGGUACCAUCUUUUGAUGGGCGUUGUGAGGGUGCUAUAACCUUCCUCACACGUAACCGAACUCCCGAACCCUGUUCUGGUUUGUAGACCCGAACCUAUUCUUUUAGGGGCCCUUAAACUUAGGUGUUCCCUAAAAGGACAGAUUCCAUAGGUGGCCAAUCGCACCUAGAUAAAAAAGAUUGGUGGCGACUCCCUAAAAGUCAAUGUCUAGCGAUAGAUCCCCGGAUCUAGACGUUACGACAAUAAUUAUAAUUUUAAAAUAACUUAAUUUAAAUAAUUUCAUUCGUUUUAUUUAAUUUUGAUAUGAAUCUAUUAGAAAAUUUUUUUAUUCAAUUACUUUGAUCAAUUACUGAUUUUUAAAAUUUAUAAUGGAAUAAAUCAAAUAAAUUAAAUUUAUUAAUUUAUUUUUAAAUAUAAUAUAAAUACAAUAUAAUUUACAUAAUAUUUUAAAAUCUUAUAUAUAAUACAAUAUAUAAUAAAAUAUAAAAUAACUUUCAUGUAAAAGAAAAUAAAUAUUUAAAAAAUCAUUUAUAAGUCUCAAUCGAUAUUAAAUAUACCACUUUAUAAAUAAACAUGUCUUAAUUCAUGAAUAAUCAUCACUUUUGAAACGAAACAACAAAAUUUUUAAAUUUUCUACAAAAAAAACUCAAAUGCCCAUGCCAUAAUAUUCAUUGCAACGUUCGAAGUCAUAGAAUCUCUAAGCCAAAUCAAUUGCCCCCAUUGGAUAUUAUUACUUUUAACUCUUUGCUAAUUUCAUUGGCUUUUAACUAAUAUUUAUUGGUUCGAGUGAUUAAAAAAAUUAAUUUUUUUACAUAAAAUUUAGAUUUUAAAUUUUAUAAAUAAAAAAAUAAAUAUUAAAAAUAUUUAUUUUUUUAUAAGAUCAGUCUUGACUCAACUCUAAGUUAGUCAACAUUUAAAAUAGUUACUUGACAUUGAAGAUCUUAGAUAAAAAAAAAAAAUCAUUAGUUUUUUUAGUAAAUUUGGAGCAAAUCAUUACAAAAGCAUGGAACUCUUUUGAAACAAAAGUUGGUUUUGUCUAAAGCUUGAGACAACAUGUUAUUCAUUAAGUCACAACUUGUAAUAAAUUUAAUUGUUUGUCUCAUAAUGUCCAAAUCACUUUUGAUUUUGUUUUUAAUAAGUUUGACCACCCAUCUCUUUCUAUAAUGCUUCAUAAUACUAUCUUCUAAAGUCAUGUUUAUAUAUCUAACCUAAUAUUCUCAUUUCAACCAUGCUAAUUUUUUUUUUUUUUUGAGGGGGUUUAUUAUUAUGUUUAACAAAGUUAUUACUUAAGUAAAUUCAAGAUUUAAUUUAAUUAUUUUAUAAAAUAAUAUCUAAUAAAUUUAUUUAAGAUUCAAUAACUUCUAUUAUAAAAAUACAUUUGGGCAGUUGGAUGCCCGACAGAAGGUGGUAGGAUGUCCAAUCAGGAAAGCAUUUUGUCUUAGAAAUGAACUUAGCCCAUUUAAGAUUCAAAAAUAAUUUGAAAGUUUUAAAAUUUGGGAUAUUUAGUUUUGAGUUCAAAUCUUAUUUUAAUUGAAUUUAUUCUAAUUUUAUGCUUAAUUUUAUUAAUUUAAAAUGACAAAAAUCCCUAAGACUUGAUUUGGAUUUAAAAAUAGCCUUGGUGAGUUGUGAUUAGAGAUGCUAAUUGUGAUACAAAUUAAAUGAUAAAAAUUUAUCUAGAUACAAUUAAAAUAUAAAUAUUUAUUUAAAAAAUUAGAAUCGUUCAAGAUUUUAUUUUUUUUUAGUAAUUUAGCCUUUCAAAUUUAACCUUAUUUUAUUUUAUUUUUUCAACAUUUGUCAUUUGUUUGUCUUCCUUUUAAUUUUUUAUUUAAAAGUUUCCAAAUGGUUUUUUUUUAACAAGAUCAAAUUAUUAAUUUUAAUUAUUUAUUAACAAAAUUAAUAUUUGAUAUAAAAUAAUUUAAUAAAAUUUAAUAAAUAUUAAAUAAUUUAAAAUUUUGUAUUACAUAUAAAUUUUAAUUUAAUAUCUUUAAUAAUUAUUUUUUAUUUAAUUAUAAUUCAUCUCAAGAUCAAAUUAUUUUUACAUUCAAACAUAUAUCCAUAAUUAAUUUUAAUUUUAUAUUAUUAUAAUCAAUAUAAUAACUAAUUCAAUCUUUAUUUUUUAAAAUUUUACUAUUUAUCGAAACGGAUCAUAAACUUAAAUAACUAUUCAAUAACAAUGGAAUGAGCAAAAUCAAUUUUAAUCAAUUUAAUGAACCGAAACCAAUUGAACUUCGUCAAGUAAGUUCAGUAUGAUUUUGAUAAUGAUUAAUUAAAAGGAUAUUUAAUUGAUUAAUUAGAUUGAUUUUUAAUGUUUAAAAUUAAUAUUAAUGUAUUUCAAAAAAAAAAAAAAAAAAACUAAUGUAAAGCAAACUAGAACGUGAUUGUUAAAUCUUGAAGCAAAAUUUGAGGGAUUUUAUUGUACUAAAAUAAUCCAAAAGAAAUCCAAAUCCUAAUGCAUCGGUACAAGAAUGGAAAGCACGUAACCUCCCCUAAUUACAAAUCUUCCCUAUAAAUACCCACUUUUUAGUGCAAGUUCAUUUCUCGCUUUUCAAAACACAGCUCCUCCGUUCUCUCUUUGUCUCUCGGUGACCCCUUUCUCUCCAGUUUCUCCUGGGGGUCGCCCAAAAUCAGAAAAAAAAAUAAAAAAAGAAAAAAAAACAUAAUUUUCUCAUUCAAUUCCUAAAUUGAUAUUCAAAUCAAAUUAAAAAAAAAUUUGUUUUCAGUUUUUUCAAUUAUUUUUGAACUUUGUCGGAAAUGGCGAACGCGGAUCCUGAAGGGAUAGACGCCGUACGGAUGACGUGGAACGUUUGGCCGCGCACCAAAGUCGAAGCCAGCAAGUGUGUGAUUCCGUUAGCGGCUUCAAUUACUCCGAUCCGUUCACACCCGGAUAUCCCAACGCUCCCUUACGCUCCUCUACGAUGCAAGACGUGUUCGGCCGUCCUCAACGCCUACUCGCGCGUUGACUUCACGGCCAAGAUCUGGAUCUGCCCGUUCUGUUACCAGCGUAACCAUUUUCCGCCUCACUAUGCUAUGAUCUCCGAAACGAACCUGCCAUGCGAACUCUACCCGCAAUACACCACUGUGCAGUACACGCUCCAACCGACUCCCGAUCCAAACAACCCUUCCAAUGCUCCUCAAUUGCCGCCAGUGUUUGUGUUCGUGUUGGACACGUGCAUGAUCGAGGAGGAGCUUGGGUUUGUUAAAUCGGCGAUGAAGCAGGCUAUUGGAUUGUUGCCAGAACACGCGCUUGUCGGUUUCGUUUCUUUUGGGACUCAGGCACAGGUCCAUGAAUUGGGGUUCUCGGAUAUGUCGAAGGUCUAUGUUUUCACGGGUAGUAAGGAGAUUUCCAAGGAGCAAGUGUUGGAGCAGUUGGGCCUCGGUGCUGCUGGGCGGCGGCCAACCGCUGGGUAUCCGAAAGGCCUGCAAAAUGGAUAUACAAAUACCGGCGUUAACCGGUUUUUAUUGCCUGCUUCAGAUUGCGAAUACACUCUCAAUUCGGUGCGUUUUGAUUUUUCUUUUUGUCGUGGGAAUUAAUUUUUUAAAUGUUUGAAUUUUUUUAUUAAGUGGUUGGUUGAUUUAAAUGUAGUUGUUGGAUGAGUUGCAAACGGAUCAAUGGCCUGUACAAGCGGGACACCGGGCGUUGAGGUGCACCGGAGUGGCCUUAAGUGUUGCAGUAGGAUUGCUUGGAGCCUGCUUGCCUGGUACUGGUGCUAGGAUUGUUGCUUUGGUUGGUGGUCCAUGUACUGAAGGGCCAGGCACGGUAAUGCCAUUAAAGUCUCUGUUGAGAUUCUGAAUUCGUAGCUAUUCUACAAUUAAGUGAUACAAUCGUUAGUGAGGCAUUUAUCAUUUGUUUUCUCAUGAACUGUAUGUAGUUUAUGGGAUCUAACGCAAAUAAUAUGUGAUGGUUGAGAUGGAUAUGGUAUGUUGUAAUUAGUAUGAACUUUAUUUUUUCUGCAAUCCUGAAUGUUCCAUUCGCUGUUGUUUCAAUAAUAUAUUUUUGCAUUUUACUUUUCUCUAUGGUUACAACUUUUUUUUUGUGUGUAAAUAAUGUAAAGUUUCUGUCCCAUGUUUUUUUGGGGAUGAUAUUUGAUAAAAGCUGCAGGCAAUCCAUACAGAAGCAAAAUGAAUUUGUAGACAGAUCACAACAACUGGAGCCCAUUGUAAUAUGAAACAUGGCUAUGUUUAGAGGCUCCAUCUUUGUUUGAUUAGCUUUGAAUGUUGGUGCAUUUACUUUGUACAAUUGGUUAAAAAGAGAAAUUUUAUUUCAUAAAGAUUAUUCCUGUUAGCUCCAUUAUGUCUCCAACGUUUUUGUCAAACUUUCAUGUUACCCUAUAAUUUCAUAUAGCUUGCUGGCUUGUUGCCUUAAUGUUUACUGUUUCUUUGUGCAAGACAAGUGUCGUUCUUAAUUACAUUGUAGUUGUAGGAAUAAUUCAUAUGCAACAAUGAUUUAAUUGAGAAAAUGGAGAUUAAGGAAAUAAUCUUCAUUUGAGCAUUGCUUCUUGUUUAAUUUGUAUUAACAUUCUUGGUUGUCAUCAAGAUGAUACUGAUUUAUAUGAUUUUUGCAGAUUGUAUCGAAAGACUUGUCAGAACCUGUACGUUCACAUAAAGAUCUGGAUAAGGAUGCUGCACCAUAUUUUAAGAAAGCGGUCAAAUUUUAUGAUAGUCUUGCAAAACAGCUGGUCAGCCAGGGUCAUGUACUAGACCUUUUUGCAUCUGCACUUGAUCAGGUCUGUUUGGCCACCUUUUAGGUUCUAUAUUUAUAUUUAAACUCUUUUUUUGUUGAUGAAUCUGUCUCUAUGCCAGAACUAGGUUGAUUUGCUUCAAUGCACUUAUUUCAUACCUGUAAUGUGUUGGCUUUCAUCUUCUGUCCAACCUAGUUAGAAGUUGUAUCACUCUAUUAAUAAGGAUGGAUUCAUUAGACAAAACUUUUUGGUUCUUUCCUGUCCUCUUAAUCGGUCUGAUGGAUUGAAGAACCUGCUGAAGCUGAUAGGAUACAAGGACCCUAAUUUUAUUUGGAAAUUUGAACUACCCCAUAUGUAAUUCUUACUUUACAAAACUCUCUCUCUCUCAUUUAUAAUUUACCAAUUAUUUAAGACACAGUGGAAAUAUGAGGACAUUAAGGCUUGAUUUUUGCCAUGCUUCUUCAAGUUGUGGGCUGUGAUGUAAAUGUUUUAUUGUAUAGAAAACUGUGGAUGACUGGAUUCUAAUAGUUAUUGCAUUUACCAUGGGUACAAACCUUUUAUUUUAAAUGAAUGUCAAUCAUUUCAGACAUUAAUAAUCUUCAAAAUGUUAACUGUACAUAAAUAUGUUAUGGUUUUUUUGUGUGUUGUCAGGUUGGAGUUGCUGAAAUGAAAGUUGCAGUUGAAAGGACAGGUGGCCUUGUUGUUCUAGCUGAAAGUUUUGGUCAUUCUGUAUUCAAAGACUCUUUCAAGCGUGUCUUUGAGGAUGGAGAACAGUCUCUUGGCCUAUGUUUUAAGUUAGUUCUUGUCACCACACCAAAGCUUCUUGUUCUUUUUCAACUUUUUAAGUUUACUUUUCUCUUCUCUUAUCCAUGUUGUUGAUAACUAUAUAGUUGCAUUCUUAAUUGGUGAACUUAUAUUUUUAUUCCAGUUCUAGUUGUCCUUGUAUUAUUUGUUUGAGUUCUAGAUGUGCCAACCACCCCGUGUGCCUUUAACUUAGUUGUGACACCAUUCAGCACUAGGUGAUGCUGCUGUUAGAGAAUGUAAAUUUUUGACAUAGCUUGCUGACCUUGCUAUUCUGCUGGAAGCAGAGCACAAGUUUAUCAAAUUGGUAUAUGAAAAUGACUAUACACUGGUAUUCUAUAUUGGCGUUACUCUUUUGGCUUCAUAGGUUUUCUAAAUGUUGCCAAUGCCUGUGCUUGUAUUGUUGAAAGAGGUGUCAGUAUUAUGACGCUACAGUGGGAGUGUUAUUGUUGAUUUCUGUUAAAAUCCUGAUUUUAAAUUUAAUGCUGAUUGCCAGAAAUGAACUCUCGCUACCAUGUGGUUACCCAUGAAAUUAAUUUAUUUGGUCCGGCAUUAGCUUUAAUUUUGCAAUUGCUUUAGCUUAAGUUUUUUUAUCCACAUGCAUCAUCUGUAAUUUAUGAUUGGCUAUGGCAUGGUUUGGAGCACCCAGAAAUUUCAACUAUUUUAGCUGUAGUAUAAAAUUUCAAACUUAUUAUAAGCUACUUUUUUUUUUAAUUUUUCUUUUUAGUGGCAUGCUCGAGAUUAACUGUUCAAAAGACAUCAAGAUUCAGGGGGUCAUUGGACCUUGCACAUCUUUGGAGAAGGUUGGAUGAUUUAACAAUUUAAUAACAUCUCUUGGUCUCUCUAUAUAGAUACACACUCUAAACUGUAGACUGGAUUUACUUGUAUUUAUGGGCAUUUAAGCUGAUUGCCAUGAGUGUUGCAGAAAGGACCUAAUGUCGCUGACACAGUCGUUGGGGAGGGGAACACUACAGCAUGGAAAAUGUGUGGCCUCAACAGGAGUACUUGCUUGACGGUUUUAUUUGAUCUUUCAUCAACUGAGCGAUCAAAUGUUCCAGGAGCUGCAAAUCCACAGCUCUAUUUGCAAUUUCUUACUAGGUUUGCUGCAUGAACCACCCAAAAGGGUCUUUUUAUUUACCUUAAUGUUAAAUAUAUUUGAUUGUUUCUUUACUUUGUUCCUUUAGUAAUUUGAUCAGUGUUGUUAAGGCAAGUGCCCAGGUGUUGCGCUUUGGUGCCAGAUAACAAAAGUGCCUCUAGGUGCAUUUGAACAGGUGCACACCUGGUGCACUUUUUUUAAGGCAGUAGGCGCAAAAAAGCCUGCCUUGUUGAAGUUCUCUUUAAUUUCUUUAAUUUUUAAUUUUUUUGUAAACUCUACCUUUAGUAGUGAAAAAAAAAAGGACAAUAUCGAGCUCUCUACUUCUCAAUGUUUGAGUAUUCAACAAUAAACAUGGUAUCAUAACGAAAUCAUGCAUAUUGGCCAAAAAAAGAACAGGAAAAUUUUGCAUGUUUCGUCGGAUAACUGGAUCACCCUUAAGAGUUUAUUAUCAGAAAUCUUAAGCCUAUUAUAUACACAGAUGCACAUGCACAUGCACAUGCACAUGCACAUGCACAUGUACACACGCUUAGACAUAUUGCGCCUGAUUUCACUCGGGCGAGGGCUUUUUUUGCACCUUGUCUCUCCAGUAAUAUAAGGGUUCAAGUGCCUAGUGCCCAUCUUGUUCCCUUGACAACACUGGAUUUGAUUGUGAUGUUGUUUAUCUAAUUGCAGUUAUCAGGACCCUGAAGGUAAAUUGAUGCUUCGAGUUACGACUGUGACAAGACAAUGGGUAGACAGUGCUGUUAGUGUAGAGGUUAGUUUAGAUAGAUAUUUUUGUACUUUUGGUUGUUUAAAUUGUCUAAAACAUCUAAGUGUAUAAUUUUCAUUUUUUCCAUUUCAUCCAUUUUUGUGUUUUGUUAAAUAUGUAAUUUGGCCAUAUUUAAGAGUUUUUUUCCUUUUUUUUUUGGGGGGGGGGUUAUAGGGGGUGUUGAAUUUAGACAUGGUAUGUUGUCUGAUGUGUAUAAAUGUCACUGCCAUAUGCAUCUUGGUCCAUGUAUAUGAUUGAUUAUUUUUGUUGGAAUUAAUUUACGCUGGGGGGUAUAGACAUGGUAUGUUUUCUGAUGCAUAUAAAUGUCACUGCCAUAUGCGUUUUGUUUGUAUAUAUGAUUGAUUAUUUUCCUUGAGAAUUUGUUGGAAUUAAUUUAUGCUUACUUUCAAUAAUAUCUCCUUUCUAGGAACUAGUACAAGGUUUUGAUCAAGAGACUGCGGCUGUUGUAAUGGCAAGAAUAGCUUCCCUGAAAAUGGAGACAGAGGUAAUUUAAAAAAUCUUUUAUUCAUUUUUCUAAAGUUUGUUGUAUUUCUUGUUUGGAUGUAUUCACUGUCAACCUAUAGCUUAUUUAGCUGAUACCUUCUGCUUAGUUACUUAUGAUUUUUUUAUCAAGUAAUGUCCAUUCUUUUUCUGUAUUUGUAUUAUGGAUAACAACUUUCUCUCUUAACUUUUUGCCCUAUUUUUUAGUGGUUCUCUCUACUUGCUUUUCUCCUAGCCUUGACCUGCCCCCUUUUUUAUAUUUUCUAUCUAUUAUUUGUUGACUCCUUGCCAAUACAAUAACAUGGUUAAAUGUUGCUUGUGAUAAUUUUUUCUAAUUAAUUAUUAUGUCUUUUUGUUUCAUUUAGGAGGGGUUUGAUGCUACACGGUGGUUAGAUCGGAAUCUCAUUCGACUUUGUUCCAAAUUUGGCGACUACCAGAAGGAUGAUCCAUCAUCUUUUACCUUAAACCCUUGCUUUUCUUUGUUUCCUCAAUUUAUGUUUAAUCUGCGGCGGUCACAAUUUGUACAGGUAAUUGUUUCUUUUUUCUAAUUUCCUACUGUUUAUAUAACAUUUAAUUGACCUAUGUUCAUAAAUGAAUUUUCUUUCCUUUUAUGUGGCAGGUUUUUAACAACAGUCCAGAUGAAACUGCCUAUUUUAGAAUGUUAUUGAACAGGGAAAAUAUUACUAAUGCAGCUGUUAUGAUUCAACCAUCAUUAAUAUCAUAUUCAUUCAACUCGCUGCCCCAACCAGCAUUAUUGGAUGUGGCUUCCAUUUCAGCUGAUCGUAUUCUCUUGCUGGAUUCAUAUUUCAGUAUUGUUGUUUUCCAUGGUAUGACAAUAGCGCAGUGGCGCAACAUGGGCUACCAGAAUCAGCCGGAACACCAGGUAUGUUCAUUUUGUUUAUGCUACCGUAAUCUAGAGUUUAAUGUAAAUAUUUCUUUAGAACCAUUACAUUCAUAAUGUUCCAAAGUGACUUUCAGUAAACAUGCCUGAUGUUGGUCUUCUUUUUACAUUAAGAUAAUAAUGUUUGAUCACUUUCAGUUUGAGAUAAGCUGGAGCUGUGGUGAUUUUGAGGUCUCUCUAAGCCAGUAGUAAAGUUUUAUUAUUCUUAUUAUAAUAUUACUCAUUCUUGUGAGAUAUUUAUCCUAAACUACUGACAGAAGAAAACCCCUUGUACCACCACCUUGUAGCUCUGAAAUGGAAACUAUGAGGUUAAUCAUAAUGAUAUGCUAAAAUAUAGUGAAUAUUAUGAAUUUCUUCUAAAAUAGAGUAUGCUUUGUUGGAUAAGGCUGGUGCAUAGUCGUGUUUGUUGAAAUGACUCCUGGCAUCAUAUAUUGGACCAGUUUAUAGGAUUAAUAAGUGUUUUAUGCAUACUUUAUAAUGUCUCAUUUCUAAAGCUAAAUAAUUGCUCAUUUUAUGUUCAUCUGGCAAUGCUUUACUCUAAGCUAUAGGAAGAGGAUGCCAAUAAGAUAUCCUUACCAGGCAAUUGGCUUUAUUUAACCUGGUUCUAUCUUUACCGGUUUAAGAACUUUCAUUGAUAAUUUUUGUAUUUGCUACUGACUUUCUCCUAUGUCAUAUAGUGGCUUAUAACCUAGGUGCUGGUUUUGAACUUCAAUUUUCUUCUAUAUGAUGUACUUCUUGUACUUUUGCACUUCUGUUAUUUUGGAGAGUUAAAAUUUGUAUAAUAGAGGAACAUAGGGACUUGUUCCAGGGGUGAGAGAUAUGGUUAUGGCAUAUUUCGUUUGCAAUGUCCAUUAUUUGUUAAGCUCUGAAUUGCAAUAUUAUAUUAGAUUGUUGGGAAUUUGCCUGUUCUUCAAUGAAGUCUCUAAUGCAGCUUAAGUUCCACUGGUUAGUACCCAAUAUCUAUGUUCCUACAGUCUAUGAUUCUGUUGUCUAAACCUUAAUUUUUUUUUCAACAGGCAUUUGCACAGCUUUUGCAAGCACCCCAUGUCGAUGCCCAAAUGAUUAUUCGGGAACGCUUCCCUGUCCCUAGAUUGGUUGUAUGUGAUCAGCAUGGAUCCCAGGUCAGUACAUUUCUUAAACUGAUAUUUUUGGAGAUAUAAAAUGUGUCCUUGAUUUGUCCUUUGUGAAUUUCAUCAUUUUUAAAUAGAUGCUACUACAAAGUGUCGCUUCUGUCUGAAUUAUUUUAAAUUUUGCAACACAAUCUUAAAGAAAAUUUACACUUUCUAAAGUACAUUUGUUAUGGUGGUUAAACCGAGAGUGCAAGUACAUCUAAUUUGCUCUGAAUUCUUUGCACAAAUCCUCAGAAGCUUGAUAAAGGUAGCAAGCACAGACUGUUUUAUUGUUACAAUUUAGCUUGAUCAUUCAGCAUUUCUGGUUCAUGGUACCUUCUGUGGGUUUAGCGUUGAUAACUUUUUUUUCCGCUAUGAUGUGAUCACUAUAUUCUUCUAUUCAUCUAGUUUCGUGUUCAUCUUGACCUUUUCCUUCAGUCUGAUGUUACGGUUAGGUAGCAGCAUAUAGCUAUCUUAACAUUUCCUUAUUUCGUUGCUUUUUCCCAUUUUUAGUGAAUUUGAACUGGUUAGCAGUAGAUUGGGGACCUUACCAAUUGUUUCAGUG